This 46124-nucleotide long non-coding RNA is filed under the name Podarcis lilfordi (Lilford's wall lizard). The record is from RNAcentral. Lineage: Eukaryota; Metazoa; Chordata; Lepidosauria; Squamata; Lacertidae.
AGGGAGCCAAUACAGCAAGGCCCGCCCCGCCCAAUCAGAAACCGCGCCUAAUUCGGAGGCGGGUCGAAGAGCCGCAACCAAUAGGGCGGCAGCGCUGGUAAGUGCGAGAGCUGCGAUAGGCCCGCGGUGACGGGCGGAAGUGGCGGAGUGAAGGAAGAGGAGCACGUGGCGCUGGUCUGUCUUCAACCAUGUGGGGCUGCCCAUUUUGUGUGCUGGUUUCUCGGGGGGGGGGGGGUGGGAAACUGCCUAGCGAGGUGGGAGACAAGGAUCCAGCACUCUGCAGACUUACCUGGCAGUAAGCCCCCUAGAUCACAGCGCUGUAAAGAUGUGUUGGUGGAGAAGUGGGUGCUUUAGGAAUUGGGCUUCAUCUAUGCAUGACUAUUAACUGGGUUCAGUGGGGUUUACUUCCCGGAAAGUACGCGCGUGCUUGCAAGCAUCUAGGUGAAGCAGAGAUUUGGAGAGGCUGGAGGGGGAUUAGGGACCCGCUGGGUUGAGGGACGCGUGUGCGUUCCUCAUCCUCGGUUGGAGAGUCAAAACCGAAAGACAUUAGGUCAAGCCUGGAGACAGGCAAUCAGUAUUUAUUCUGUAGCUAUCUGCUGCAUGGUUCUAGUAUGGUUCUAGCACACAGUGUUCCGGACUGAAGAGGCUGAUCUAGGGUAGUUGGCCAGGGGCAGGAAUAAACGGGGGUGGGGGGGCAUGUGUAGUAGAUACCAUGCCUAAGCCUGGGAUCAGAAGGAAUUGUAUUGUAUCCUAGGCAAAGCAUUCAGGCACGUUUUUCUUCCAGAAGUGCGACAAAAUUAUGCCUUCUCCACAAUGGGUGAUCCUUUCUUUGAAAGGAAGCAGCUUUGGGGGAAGACCAUGUGGUAGACCAUGUGCUUUGCAUGUAAAAAGUUCCAGGUUUGAUGCCAAGCGCUUCCAGGUAGGGCUGGAGAAAUCCCCUGUUUGAAAUACUGCCAGUCAGCAUAGAUGGUACUGAGUUAGAUAUGUAGACCAUGAUCUGACUUUUCAUAAGACUGCUUCCUUUAUUCCAACAUGUUGGGGAAAUAUUGUGUAUUUAAGGCUGUGUACACGCCAUACAUUUAAAGCACAUCCCCCCCUCCCCAAAGAGUCAUUGGAAUGGUAGUUUGUUAAGGGUGCUGGGAAUUGUAGUGCAGUGAGGGGUAAACUAUAGUUCCUGGGAGCCUUUGGGGGUGGUGGGUGGUGAAUAUGCAGCUUAGGCAAUGUGAAUUUAUUUGGAGAUUGUAUUAACAUAUAGGAUUUGGGAAUUCAGUUUCAAUCUCCUUUUUCCUCUUUGAGUCAUUAGAUGGAAUAUGGAGUUCUGGGCACCUUUAAUUUGAUCUGUGCUGAAAAUAUUCCAAAGCCAUCAGCUCAUCGGAAAUAUCUAGGGUGAAUGUAUUCUGUGUGCUGCUGCUGCUAAAGAAUGCUGGGUAGAAAACAAGCAGAAUCCGCCUGCUGGAAAUUCUACACAGUUUAGCUGACCACACUGUGAAAUCUAUUUGUCAAGGCAAACAUUUCGCUUUGCUAACAGAUGGUGUUCCUUUUCUCCCUCCUCCCAGCAAGUAAAAUAAUACCACUUCAGAAUUGUUUUAAAUGUUUCAACAAGUUUCAUUUUCAGUCUUCUUUUAAUUGCAACUCUUCUCUCGGCACCUGAAGCUUGCAAAAUUGAGAUGGUUACUGUUCACUUUUAAAAAUGAAUCUGAAGUUGCUUCCCUGCCCUUCCCCCCCUCCCCCAUCCACAUGGGGAAGGCAAAGAAGUUGUUGGAUGAUUUUAAUAGAAUCAUAUAAUUGGAAGGGACCAUCAAGUCCAGCCCCCGUCAGUGCAGGAAUAUUUUGCACAACGUGGGGCUUGAACACACGACCCUGAAAUUAUUAUUUCAGUAUCCUUUUCAGUGCCGGAUUUACGUACUAUAUAACCUAAAGCUUAGAGCCCCACUCCAAAAAAACCACAAAACCUGGAUGUACAUUUCCAAAAUAUAAGAUAAAAAGCAAAUAAAACUUACAUACAGCAACAGUGUUUUGUGUGGUGUAGGCUCCUAUGAUGUAAGUAAUGGGCCUCGCCUGCUAGCCUGCUCCCUAAAACAUCACUGGUUUGCUCAUUUCUAUAUACAGUGGUACCUCGGGUUACAGACGCUUCAGGUUACAGACUCUGCUAACCCAGAAAUAGUACCUCGGGUUAAGAACUUUACUUCAGGAUGAGAACAGAAAUCAUGUGGUGGGUUAAGAACAGACCUCUGGAACAAAUUAAGUUCUUAACCAGAGGUACCGCUGUUUAGGGUGCCUACAUUCUGCAUGAAGGUCGGCGGUUCGAAUCCCCGCGACGGGGUGAGUUCCCGUUGCUCGGUCCCUGCUCCUGCCAACCUAGCAGUUCCAAAGCACAAUAGUGCAAGUAGAUAAAUAGGUACCGCUCCAGCGGGAAGGUAAACGGUGUUUCCCGUGUGCUGCUCUGGUUCACCAGAAGCGGCUUAGUCAUGCUGGCCACAUGACCCGGGAAGCUGUACGCCAGUAAAGCGAGAUGAGCGCCUGAACCCCAAAGUUGUCUGCAACUGGACCUAAUGAUCAGGGGCCCCCUUUACUUUGCAUUCUGCAUGGACUUUUCAACAAUUACUUUGAUAAAAUACAUAUUUUGUUAUGUGCAAAUGGCUUGAGAUACCUAUUAGGUCCAUCAAUUACUAUAUAGCAUAUAUUCCACACAAAAAACAGCGACAAUUUGUUGUUGACAAAGGACAGCUGCACAUAUAAAGGGCCCGUUAUCACCAGUAGCUUAGGGCCUCAUCAAACCUAAAUCCGGCCCUGAUCCUAUAAUUAGAGAGUUCAAAGGAUUGCAUGUGUAAAGUUGUAAUUCAUGUUCUUAAGAACAGGCAAGGCUUGGCCAUUUGAUGCUUCCUUAAAAGUGGAUCGUUUCCAGGCAGGCACACGUGUAUAUGUAUAUGUUUAUCUUUACCUGCUACCUGUUCCUUUUAGCUGUAGAUGCCAGGUAUUGAACCUAGAACCUUCUGUACACAGAGUACAUUAUUUAUUUAUGGUGUGGGCAGAAGGCAGGUGAGAAUUGACUGUCAACUCUGGGUGAUUGGAAGCAGGCUGGUGAGGGCUUCUGGCUCACAGCCACCCACCGCCACAAACUGGGUAGGUAACAAUGGAGAAGUAUUCCCAGUCUGUGAAGGGGUCAAGCCAGUACCUUGCCUUGGGCUGCAAGCAGCAUGAUGUGAUGUGCCCGUAUAAUCCAGUCUCAGUUGACUAGCAGCCAUUGACUGCAAUACAUGAGGUUUCUAUAAUGUUUUUUGAAGGGCAGCCCCAUGUACAAAGCACUGCAGUAUUCAAAAAGGGAGUUUACUAUACCAGGGAUGGAGAACCGAGGCAAAGCUAGCUCUCCUUGCCCAGGUAGGGGCUAAUAGCCAUGAUGGCUAAACCUAUGUCCCCACUGGGGAAGGACGUGUGGAUCCAGAAUAGGCCUCUACUGUCACUUACGGACUCGCUGUUAAGACCGUAUUCAUGGAAGACCAUCUUUCUUGAGCUAGAGUAAUAAUCCACCAACGAAAUUGGGAUGUGGAACUUCAAUGCCACGUGAGCUUGAUGAAUAAACACCCAGCAAUAAAAGAUAACGGGAGAGGAUUUACCCCAGCAAAUUAUCUGUCAAAAUUACAAAUACCCAAAUACAGACGGUCAUUUACCCUCGCUAGAUUCAACGUGCUGCCAUCUGCCUUAUUGCAGGGCAGAUUCGAGGGUAAAUAAUAAGCGGAACGAGUCUGCCGCUGUGAAUUGAUGGAGGUAGAAACUGUCUCUCAUGCCUUGUUAUGCUGCUGUUUCUACAGGGAUAUACGCUCGGUAUUUAUUACCCCUGCUAUGCAAAAAUCUCCAAAUGAAUCCAAACUUCUAAAAUCCCUGGUAGAGGACAAGGAUCCUGAGAUCACGUUAAGGUAGCCAAAUUCUGUGCAUUUGCCAUAAAACUUAGGGAACAAGCUGCUAUCAUAAUGAUUAAGGCCUUAAAUGAUAAUUUUAGGUUAUAUGUUAGUUUUACUUUAUAUAUUUUUAAACUGUUGCUACAUCUGUAUUAUCUCUGUUAUACCUAAUUGCAAUUUUAAAUGUAUUCCUAUCCUGUUUUAUUACUUCUUUGAUAUUGUAUGUGGGCUAGAACUGGUCUGUGACCGAAAUAAUAAAUUAAUUCACAAUCUUUUUUUUUAAAAAAAAAUAAUAUUUAUUACUUUUCCAACAAUUUAAACACUACAAAAACAAUACAAUACAAUACAAUACAAUACAAUACAAAAACACUACAUAACACUAACACAUUAAACUAACAAAACAAAAACAAUUAAACACAUUUCAAUAUCUUAUCUUUCAUUCACUUAUUUCCACGACCUCCUCACACCUCCCUUUUGGUAUUCCACUUCUGUUAAUUAUUUCAGCAAUUCCUUUCCAUCUUCCUCUGUUUUCUAUCCUAUAAUUAUCUUAACAAAUUCUAACCUUAUUUUUUCCUUUAAUUCUCUAUUCAUCUAUUUAUACUUAAUUCCUUAUAACAUUUCUACUAAAGCCAUAUAACUUCAUUCCAACAUUUUUCUAACAUUCAUUAAUUUUACAAUAUUUCUGUAAAUAGUCUUUAAACUUUUUCCAGUCUUCUUCCACUGACUCUUCUCCCUGGUCUCGGAUUCUGCCAGUCAUUUCCGCCAGUUCCAUAUAGUCCAUCAACUUCAUCUGCCAUUCUUCCCAGGUGGGUAAAUCUUGUGUCUUCCAAUACUUCGCAAUGAGUAUUCUUGCUGCUGUAGUUGCAUACAUAAAAAAAGUUCUAUCCUUCUUUGGCACCAAUUGGCCGACCAUGCCCAGGAGAAAGGAAUUAAUUCACAAUCUUUCAUGGCGAUGAGUGAUCACCGAGGAAGAAGAAAAGAAGAAGGUCUGCCUCCACGGUGGGAGGCAAAAAAAGAAGAAGAAAAAAAGCCUCCAGAUACCACUUGCUGGAAGCCACAGGAGCAUAGAGGGCUCUUAUGCUUGGAUUCUGCUUGUGAUUUCCCCACAGGCUUCUGGAUGGCCACUGUGAGAACAGGAUGCUAGACUAGAGAGGCCUUUCUUCUUAGGUUCUUAUAAGCUGCAGAGCAGGAAAGAACAUAUUGGAUCAGGAAAACUGAGCAGGGGGCAGGAUAGAAUUGUAGAACAUGGGGCUGUAGAGCUGGAAAGGGCCCUCCUAGGGUCAUCUAGUCCAACCCCCUGCAAUGCAUAUCCAUUUAAAUUAAGCAGCCAGGUGCUAGAAUCUGAAAUUGGACCAGACCUUAUGCAGCUUAGGUUUGGCAAGAGGCAAGGCUAAUCAAUGCCUAUAUGGGAAAGAAUAAAUGCUUAGGUACAUGCAGUGCUUUUUUCCUGGGGGUACACAGGGGUCCGCAUACCCCUCAACAUUUUGUGAAACUAAGUUUAGCUUAAUUGAGGGGCAGUAUUUCAAUAUGAGUAGGAAAAUGAGAGUACCCCUAAACAUUUUUUUAGAAAAAAGAGAGCACUGGGUAUAUGUACUUAAUUUCAUUUUUUAAUUGUUCUUCUUAAAGUUUUUCCUUGGUUGCAAAAGUACAUAGGGCAUCUCUGCUUUCAGUUCAUAGAGUUCUUCUACGGAUCAUUCAUAUUCAAUGUGAGGCACUAAUGUUAUAGACAGCAUAAAGAUGGGGGAGAAAAGAGAAGGGGAGAGAGAGCGGGGGGAGUAAACUUUCAUUCUAUUCCUCAAUUUCAUUUGUUGAGGACUUGAUUGCAAACCAGAUGUCUGGUCAGGAGGGUGACCAAGGAUUACGGAGAGAAACACUUGCUCAGUAAAGACUCAGUUGGGCCACUGCAUAUGGGGCUGUGCAGAUCAAGCAGUGCCCAUCAUCAGGGCGGUACUGAGAAAAAACCCUCCACUAGCUCCAUUAAGGCUUCCUCUUCAUCAAAGGUCACUUGGGAGUUGUUGUUGUCAUUUAGUUGUUUAGUCGUGUCCGACUCUUUGUGACCCCCUGGACCAGAGCACACCAGGCACUCCUGUCUUCCACUGCCUCCCGCAGUUUGGUCAAACUCAUGCUGGGAGCUUCGAGAACACUGUCCAACCAUCUCGUCCUCUGUCGUCCCCUUCUCCUUGUGCCCUCCAUCUUUCCCAGCAUCAGGGUCUUUUCCAGGGAGUCUUCGCUUCUCAUGAGGUGGCCAAAGUCUUGGAGCCUCAGCUUCAACGAUCUGUCCUUCCAGUGAGCACUCAGGGCUGAUUUCCUUAAGAAUGGAUGAAGUCCUUCAUAAUAUUCCAUUUAAAUCUCACACCAGGAGUUUCAUCAGGCCUGCCACAAUAAAGCCAGAACUGGGAUGGAUGUGUGGUCAGACGCAGGAAGGCCUUUGAUUCUUCACUGCCUUUGGUUAGAUUUCCAGGUGCUCAUUCUUCUUUUCCACUAGGUGGCAACAGGCGGCUGCAUUAUGACCAUUAGCUCAGAGCCUCUGCUGAAGAGGGUGUUGGAAGCUGCAUUGUGAAAGCGACAGGUUAUUUGAGAAGAAGGAGGAGUGCUGAAAACAAAAGCAAAUCAACUGAAUAAACUUAAAAACAAAAGCAAAUCAAUUGAAUAAGCUUUUCAACAGGAGCAGAUAGGCAGGUGGGCUUUGUGGAGCAGAGGAGGGGGGCAUGUGAGUCAAGCGGAUAAUGGAAUCCUGAUUAGUUUACCUGUCAAACAUAUAAUAAUAAUAAUAAUAAUAAUAAUAAUAAUUUUUUAUUUAUACCCCGCCCUCCCCAGCCAAGGCUGGGCUCAGAGCAGCUUACAAGCAAUAAUAAAAACAAGAUGAAUGAUUACAACUUAAAAACAAAAAUAAAAUACAACAUUAAAAUAAUGGAACAUUAAAAUAUUAAAAUGUAGCCUCAUUGCAGGAGGAGAAGGAAAAGAAAAAAGAGAGGGAGGGAAUCAAAUUGGCUCCAAGCCAAAGGCCAGGCGGAACAACUCUGUCUUACAGGCCCUGCGGAAAGAAAUCAGAUCCUGCAGGGCCCUGGUCUCAUGAGGCAGAGCGUUCCACCAGGCCGGGGCCAGUGUUGAAAAGGCCCUGGCUCUGGUUGAAGCCAAUCUAGCUUCCUUAGGGCCCGGGACCUCUAGGGUGUUGUUAUUUAUGGACCUUGAGGCUCUCCGUGGGGCAUACCGGGAGAGGCGGUCCCGUAGGUACGUGGGUCCUAGGCCGUGAAGGGCUUUAAAGGUCAAAACCAGCACCUUAAAUCUGACCCUGUACUCCACCGGGAGCCAGUGCAGCUUGAAAAGCACUGGGUGAAUAUGCUCCCAUGGCAAAGACCCCAUGAGGAGCCUCGCUGCAGGAAACUGGUGGUGGGAAAAAAGGCCAACUGAUUUAAAAGGAUGUUUAUAUGCACCUAUGCAAAACUGUCUUAUCUCUGCAUCGGUGGCUUUCAGAUUUCUUAGCUUCAGGGAUCCCCUCUGCCCAGAAACAUGCAGAUAUGGGAAGUAUUUUGUGGCCUCAUUUUACAGCAGGGCUCCUUGGAUCUUCUUCGCUUUCUCUUAGGAGAAUCCACCCAGCUCCUCCACCCAGAAAGCCAGAGCGAAAGGGCAAGGCUGCCUCUGAGCACAUGCUGAGCCUAUGAAUUGCUUCCCAGAUGCAUAGAAAAUCAAAGCAAGUAUUAAUCAGCCUUUUGCUAGUUUAUAUUUCUAAAAGUCUUAAAUAGUUAUUAAUUCUUCUUAUUGAUAAUUUUAUUGCUUUGUCUUUUUGGUAAAUCACUUCUGAGGUUUUUUUUUUUUAAAAUAACAAGUGAUGUAUAAAUUGUAUGAAAUAAAUUAAUGGAAGCCCACUCCUGACUCACGUUCUUCGUGAACAGCCCUUGGCGGGCAGAGAGGAGCAAGUAGACCAGACCAUGCAGGGGGCGCUUGCAUAAGUGCGCCUGGUUCACGCGCCCUCCAAAAUUGUGUGCCUGGGACCACAGUCUCCCUGGCACCCCUCACGCUAUGCCCCUGGUCAGACCUUCUGGUCCAUCCUGCUCAGUAUUGCCUACACGGACUGGCAGCAGCUCUCCAGGGUUUCAGACCAGGGACUUUACCUGUCAGUUUGCACUUCUUAGUGCAGAAAGUAUUGAUCUGAUAUGUGAUUGAUCUUUCCUAUUCUAAUUAAUUCAGGAGGGUUCUGGAAGCUUCUCUGUGUGAAAGAAGCAAGCAGGAGGUUCAUGAUGUUUGGGCUAUUCCUUUGGAGAAGCUGAGCGCAGCUGGUUUCAACUGGCUCUGUUAUCUCUUUCUGUCAAGGUCGUGCUGACUAUAAUAAGAGGCCAGAAGGGGUUUCACACUUUAUCUAUCUCUCUUCCUGCUGGUGUUGUGUUCUGUACAUAGAUAGUGUUAAGAUUUAGACUUAUUGUAAGUUUAAGUUAAGUCUGCUGCAACUGGAUUUCUUAUGGACGGUGCCAAUCCUGAAUGCAUUGGAUUUGUGACCAUUAUGCUCAUUUGCCUUCAGUAGCAGUAAAGCUCUGCCGGAUGAAAUAUCAAAUGCCUCUGGUCUAUUUUUGGGGAAUCCUGUUUAAGCUUUUACUCUGCUAACUAUACGUUGGAAUCCGCUCUGGAUCAGUAUUGAGUAGAAUUCCAUGACGGUGCCACGCAGCUAUGGCCCGUCAAGGAAAAGAAUUCGUCUGUGUUUGACUCAGAGCAGACAGACUGAAAUGAAUCAGUGAGGUCCAUUAAUUUCUGAGAAAAACGUGGUUGACUACUACCCUCUUAUCACUACUGUUUCCUCAAACACCCCUAGUUUUGAGAACACCCCACUAGUCUGAGAUUCAGCAACUACUUGGGUGAGUUUUUCCAUGUCCUCCAAGCUUUGCACAAAUGUGAAAAGGCGGGGGCUGAGAUCCAAAGGGAGCCAGCACCACACCCCUCCCAUCGCUGCAGGCAGAAUAAACUCUCAAGUUAACCUUAGCCGACCUCCUUUGUGCGUGGAUCUCAGAGGUAAAGCACUUGCAAUUGGGUGCUCGGCCUUUGCACCUGCCCUCUGCUUUCUGCGAGGACCUGGAGACCUCUCCAAAUGGAUCGGGAGCCAGAAACGUGUCUUAACCAGGAUGUGAGGCUGUUUUCUUACUCCAUCCCAAGUUUUGAAAGUCUUGACAACAGAGAAUAAGCGCCUGUCUGUUAGGAAUACACAAGCAGCAAGUGAAUUAACCGUCCUUUGUCCCCAUAGCACCUGCCAAAGUUGGACUUAAGAAUUUCCCUGCUGGAUCUGAGACUCUUGAGAGUCCCAUGGACUUCAAGAAGAUCAAACCUCUCCAUUCUGAAGGAAAUCAGCCCUGAGUGCUCACUGGAAGGACAGAUCCUGAAGCUGAGGCUCCAAGACUUUGGCCACCUCAUGAGAAGAGAAGACUCCCUGGAAAAGACCCUGAUGUUGGGAAAGAUGGAGGGCACAAGGAGAAGGGGACGACAGAGGACGAGAUGGUGGGACAGAGAUGGACAGUGACGAGAUGACGAGAUGGACAGUGUUCUCGAAGCUACCAGCAUGAGUUUGACCAAACUGCGGGAGGCAGUGGAAGACAGGAGUGCCUGGCGUGCUCUGGUCCAUGGGGUCACGAAGGGGCGGACACGACUAAACGACUAAACAACAACAACCUAGCAUCUUCUUCUUGGGUGAGGUGUGUACCAGAUUUCUUUGGGACGCUUGCCAGCAGCACCUGAGCAGGGCAGCAGCUCUCCCCAUAUUCCUUGCAACUGGUGUUCGGAAGUGAAGUGCCUUACGCUCAGAGGUUUGCAGGUGUGCAUGUGGAUUAUUGCUGCUGCCUAAAUUGCCUAGGCAAUUUAAAUGCUAAAUUAGCCAGAAUGCACAUUUGCAUUACAAAUCCUCUACUUUCCCUUUCCAUUCCUCGUGAAGGGCGGCACAGCAUUCUCAAAUAGAGGUUCGCCUGCGAUUUGGAAUUGUGAAUGUGUCCUUAGGCUGCUGAGCUGGUGCCACCGCUCAUCUUUAUUUUAGUUCAGUUUGCCUCUCUUUCACCCAGCGUGGCUUCUCUGUGCUUGGUUGUUUUUCUGCAAAUUUACAUGGCUGGCUCCUGCCCACAGCUCCUUUCAGGUUUUCUAGCAAGGCUCCUGGUCUGCAGGUGAAAACGUUGAUGCGAAAAGCUUUGCAUGUUCAUUUAUGCAGACCGAGCUGCUCUUAGAAUUAGAGGAGCACAUCAGGCAUGUGUUUUUCUGGACACUUGGCAACCUGAAUUAUUCGUAGCAUCACGGGGCGCCUUCAGACCACCUGCUUAUUGAGCAUUCAUUCUGAUUUGUUUGCAGGGAGAAAAUGUUGGCUAGUCUAUGAACAUUCACUCUGCUCUGUUUGCUGGAAAGUUAGAAAAUUGUGCCAUACACUUUGCAGUGUAUCUUCCCAUCAUUUUCCUUAUCACAAAACGUCUGAUCUUUUGGGAAAGGUUGUUUGCUACACAAUACCUCCUGAUCAAUUGUAGUAGCAUAUAAUGAAUUUUCCAAGAUGGGAUUGAAUACCUCCCGAACACAGAGACAGUCCAGCAGUGAUCCAAGAGGAAGGUGCAUAGCAGAGUUCAGCCUUAAAAACCACUGCUGGGAAAUCAGAGUUUGGGGUGAAUUAGGAGGUGCACGCUUAAGUUUGUGUACAUUAACUGUAUCACAAACAAUAUCACAAGUAGCAUGGCAUUUGCUUGCGCCCCAUAAAACUGAAAUUCUCCCCACCCUUUUUAAAAAGCAUAUUUAAAGUAAGACAGAUAUUACUCUCUGAUUCCUAGAGGAAGUACCAAUAUGUUCAGAGGCCAAAAGAAAAAGCACUAGAGACAUUAAAAAUAUUUAGCCUUUCGGCGUUCAUCAUAUUUCACAGUUAAGUAAGCGACCCAAUCGGAUAUCUCAAUAUCAUUAUAUAUGUUCUCUGUUGCAUUUUUCACAAGAGCGAAGGAAUUUAUUAAGACGCCUCUCAAUUGCCCAUAUCUCCUAUCAUGCGCUUUCUUUAUCAAAUCAUGUAUCCUUUUCUGGAAGAGACUCCUAAACGGCUUGCAAUAAAUCUGGUCAGAUUUGAUUCAAAUAAAUUGGUAUUUUGAUACUCUCAAUAUUCUUCUGCGGGUGCUCCACAGAUCCGCGCCCCCCCCCCUGCUAUAGCUCCACUGCUGGUUUCCUUUGCCGCCAUCAGAGAGAGAUUCAGUUUCCAGAUGUUAUCGAUUUCAUCAGGAUGGUUGAUGGCUCAGAGUUCAGGUGGGAAGAGUCAGGACCCAGGGCCCAAAUGCAUCCCCCCAGACCUGUCUCUCUGGCCCUCAGGAGUCUCUACAGGCAGCACCUGCCAUUGGACUACUCCACGGCAGUGGAACAGAACCGUGAUCGUGCCUCUUGCUUGCUUGGUGAAGGAUGGAGAGGUGUGUGAGGACAGAAACCUCUGAUUUUUGUAAAGGUAAAGGGACCCCUGACCAUUAGGUCCAGUCGUGACCGACUCUAGGGUUGCGGCGCUCAUCUCACUUUAUUGGCCGAGGGAGCUGGCGUACAGCUUCUGGGUCAUGUGGCCAGCAUGACUAAGCCGCUUCUGACGAACCAGAGCAGCGCACGGAUACGCUGUUUACCUUCUCGCCGGAGCGGUAUCUAUUUAUCUACUUGCACUUGGACGUGCUUUUGAACUGCUAGGUUGGCAGGAGCAGGGACCGAGUAAUGGGAGCUCACCCCGUCACGGGGAUUCGAACCGCCGAUCUUCUGAUCGGCAAGUCCUAGGCUCAGUGGUUUACACCACAGUGCCACCCACUUCCCCUGAUUUUUGUAGGAUGUCUCUAUUUUCAUUAGAGAAAUGUUGGAGGGUAUGGGGUUAUUCAACCCCCAAGCCAAGAAGAUAAGUAACUCUACAGCCUUUCGAAGACAUCUGAAGGCAACCCCUAUAGGGAACUUUUUUAAUGUUUAAUGUUUUAUUAUGUUUAUAUAAGGUAAAAAGGUAAAGGACCCCUGGAUGGUUAAGUCCAGUCAAAGGGGUGUGGCACUCAUCUCGCUUCAGGCCGAGGGAGCCGGCGUUUGUCCACAGACAGUUUUCUGGAUCAUGUGGCCAGCAUGACUAAACAGCCUUUGUCACAACGGGACACCGUGACGGAAACCAGAGCGCACAGAAACGCCGUUUACCUUCCCACUGCAGUGGUACCUAUUUAUCUACUUGCGCUGGUGUGCUUUCAAACUGCUAGGUUGGCAGAAGCUGGGACAGAGCAACGGGAGCUCACCCCGUCGCGGGGAUUUGAGCUGCCAACCUUCCGAUCAGCAAGCUCAAGUGGCUCAAGUAGUUUAGACCACAGCGCUACCUGUGUCCCUAUAUAUGUUGGAAGCCACCCAGAGUGGCUGGGGAAACCCAGCCAGAUGGGCGAGGUACAAAUAAUAAAUUAUUAGUAGUAGUAUUACUACAGUGGUACCUCGGGAUGCGAACGGGAUCCGUUCCGGAGCCCUGUUCGCAUCCUGAACAGAAUGUAAGAUGCGACUGCACAUGCGUGGGUCGCGUUUUGCCACUUCUGCGCAUGCCCGUGACAUUGCUUCCGCUCCGUUACUUCCGGGUCGCCGCGGAACACAGCCUGAAAAUACUUAUCCUGCAGCGUAUUUAUCCCGAGGUAUGACUGUAUUAAGGGAUGCGGGUGGCGCUGUGGGUUAAACCACAGAGCCUAGGACUUGCUGAUCAGAAGGUCUGCAGUUCGAAUCCCUGCGACGGGGUAACCUCCCGUUGCUCGGUCCCUGCUCCUGCCAACCUAGCAGUACGAAAGCAUGUAAAAGUGCAAGUAGAUAAAUAGGUACCGCUCUGGCGGGAAGGUAAACGGUGUUUCCGUGCACUGCUCUGGUUCGCCAGAAGCGGCUUAGUCACGCUGGCCACAUGACCCGGAAGCUGUACGUCGGCUCCGUCGGCCAAUAAAGUGAGAUGAGCGCCGCAACCCCAGAGUCGGCCACAACUGGACCUAAUGGUCAGGGGUCCCUUUAACUUUAGUAUGACUGUAUUAUUAUUAUUAUUUAUUUUCACCAGAAAAUGGUUGAAGGGUAUACAAGAUUUCAGCCUUCCAGAACAGAAUACAAAUGUUUCUGAAGCCUUGUGGAAAGGAACUGCAGUCACUGAACACGAAUAAGCUGCAUGUAUGUGUCUUUAUUGAAAUAAUUCCCACACUAAUUUAUGCAAAAGCCCUCUAACAUAAAACACUGGUUAUUUAGCAGAGAGCAAAAGAGUGUAGGCACCAGAAAUAUUAAUAGUAUCACGGCCCAUGGCCUGCGGUUGGAGAUCCACCCUCUUGCUUUAUUAAUACCAUAGAUCAUUUCCCAGCACUUUCCUCUCCCUGAUUGCCUUUGCUCAUUAGCCCUGUGAAAGAGCAUCCCAGCGGCAGACUGUGUGUGCUCACGCCUCCAUUUCUGAAGACAUAACCGCACGUGGAAACGAGAUGAUGAGUUGUUUUUCAUGGAAGUGGCCAGAUUUGGGGCGGAUUCAUUUUCAGGCACCGGGUUGGCGCAGCGGCAGGUGACCCUGACGGCAGGCACCAUGGUGACACAGUCACGUACGGUUUCGAUUUCCUUGCCCUGGCUGGCGAGAAGUCCUCAGCCAGCCUUCUCAGCUGCUUUGGGGAGGAGAGAACGCAGAGGCUUCUAUAACGCAGCUUGCAAAUUCACAAGCUGGGGAUGAAUGACACGGACACAGGGUAGCCGGCAGAGGAAAACCUCAUGCUAAGUGAAAAUAUGAAAAGAGAUGCAGGAGGCAGCGGAGAUGGUCACCAAUUCGGAUGGCUUCCCUUCAUUUAUUUAUUUUACAAUUUGUUGUUUAUUCUUCUCUUCAACAGCAACAAACGACAAAAAUAAUGGACAACUAUGGUAAAAUGGAGUAUGACAGAAUUACAUAAAACAUUAAGCAUAAUAAGAAUAAGAAUUUAUUAUUUAUACCCUGCCCAUCUGGGCUUCCCCAUCCACUCUGGGUGGCUUCCAACAAAAUAUCAAAAUACCGUAAUACAUCAAACAUUAAAAGCUUCCCUAAACAGGGCUGCCUUCAGAUGUCUCCUAAAAGUCUGGUAGUUGUUGUUCUCUUAGACAUCUGGUGGGAGGGCGUUCCACAGGGCGGGUGCCACCACCGAGAAGGCCCUCUGCCGGUUCCCUCUAACUUCGCUUCUCACAGGGAGGGAACUGCCAGAAGGCCCUCGGCGCUGGAGCUCAGUGUCCGGGCAGAACGAUGGGGGUGGAGACGCUCCUUCAGAUAUACUGGACCGAGGCUGUUUAUGGCUUUAAAGGUCAGCACCAACACUUUGAAUUGUGCUCGGAAACGUACUGGGAGCCAAUGUAGGUCUUUCAAGACCGGUGUUACAUGGUCCCAGCAGCCACUCCCAGUCACCAGUCUAGCUGCCGCAUUCUGGAUUAAUUGCAGUUUUUGAGUAACCUUCAAAGGUAGCCCCACGUAGAAUGCAUUGCAGUAGUCCAAGUGGGCGAUAACUUGAGUAUGCACCACUGGCGAGACAGACAGCAGGCAGGUAGGGUCUCAGCCUGCACCCCAGAUGGAGCUGGUAAAUAGCUGCCCUGGAGACAGAAUUGACCUGCACCUCCAUGGACAGCUGUGAGUCCAAAAUGACUCCCAGGCUGCGCACCUGGUCCUUCAGGGGCACAGUUAACCCAUUCAGGACCAGGGAGUCCUCCAUAACCGCUUGCCUCCUGUCCCCCCAAAACAGUACUUCUGUCUUGUCAGGAUUCAACUUCAAUCUAUACGUCCAAAAGCCCAAACUCCAUCAAAUAACCCUGCCAUGAAGAUGACUAAAUCACUGGAGGCUGUCUAAAUCCACACCCAUCCUUAAUAAACUUUAAAAAGGGGAGCCAUUCUUUGUGAAAGGAGUUGAGUUUAGUCUCCCUUGAAUUACUUGGAGGUGGUAAGUUAGGGGUUCCAAGAGAGCUAUAAUCCCUUAUGGAGUUAUACCACAUCUCUUUGUAAUAUAGUAGUUUCUAACUCACACUUGUGGGUACAAAAGGGUUAACCUGAGCCCUGAGCUCAAGUUGCAGGUGGGUGUGGCUUAGCAGGACUCAGUAGCCUCUGCUCCCCCUCCCUCCUCAGUUUUUUUCUCUUCAUGCUUCCUGGAACUAGCAAGGAGCCAUGCAGCUAUUGGCUCCCAGCUGGAAGAAAAACCAAGUGAACUGAAUCUCUCCAAAAGGGAAAUUUUAAAGCCUGCAUCUUUGCUAGCCUGAAUAUUGCAUGAUCCUUUUGUAAGGAACCUACUUCAUCUUUAUUUUCAUGCUGACGGAUGGAGACUUGUUUGCUGUAACUUCUGGAAGCCCUGUGAAUAAAGCAUUCACUUAUUUGCAAAGACGAGGGUGUGUGAUUUGUUCUUGCCUAAGUAAGAAACGUUUGUUUAAACGUGGAUGAGGGCAGGUGCAAAUCUAACCAAGUUUUAACGUGUUUGAAGCAAUCACCAUUGUGCCGCUGGAGAGCAGCAAUCUCUGUCCCUCAGUUCUCCCUCCAACAAUCCCUUGUGGCAUUGACUCUCAAGAUUUCGGUGGGAGGCUAUUUCUUGUCUUGUGGUAGCCAAUAGCAAGAAGACCAAAGUCUUAAGUUAUGCUAUGAGAUUGGGUGUAGAACACAACAAAGAUAAUUCUAAAAUUGUAUUAUUUGCGGAUGAUAUCCUUUAAUUUAUUACAAAACCAGAAGAUACAAUUCCAAAAAUUAUGGAGAAAAUAAAAACCUUUGGCAGAAUAUUGGGAUAUUCUAUAAAUUGGACAAAAUCAGAGAUUUUACGAAUUGGGCCAAGGGCUACAUUGUAUAGAAACCAUCAAUUUCGGAUGUGCAAAGACUUUAUUAAAUACCUGGGUAUAAUGAUUUCAUCAGAUAUAGACCAAACUGUAAAAUUAAAUUUGAAUCAAAUUAUAAAUGAGAUUUCUUUUGAUGUUGAAAGGUGAGGAUCUCUCAACCUCUCACUUUGGGGAAAGGUUAAUGUCCUCAAAAUGAAUGUCAUUCCAAAGCUUUUAUACAUUCUUAGUGGAUUACCAAUACAUAUUCCCAAAUUUUACUUCCAAAAAAUAAAACAACUAUUUAGAUCUUGCCUGUGGGGUACAAAGCCACCAAAAAUAUCACUACAUAAAAUGCAAUUUCCAACUAAGGAAGGUGGCUUUGGUCUCCCAAAUCUGGAACUAUAUCACCAGGCCUACCUGCUGAGUAAUACUAAUUAUUGGAGAGUUAACAGGAAUCCCAAUUGGGCUACUCUCGAAUAUAGUUUCUUUGAACCUCUUGUAGGGUGGACUAAACUCGGCUCCAAUUUUAUGAAAUAUCCUAUUAUCCCGGAGACUAUUAAAGCACCUAUAAAAAUUUGGAUGAAUAUAUAAAUAAAAAUAAUAAGGAUGACCCCCUAUCAGCACGAGAAAUUAACAAUAUGGGCCAACCCAAAAUUAAAAAUUGGAAAUCAAGUAAUAAUUUGGCAAAAUUGGAUGAAGAAAGGUAUUUUGACAUUAAAUCACUUAACUGAUGAAAAUUACAAAUUUGUGGAAUAGAAGACUUUGCAAGUAAAGUAUGGAGUAACUAGUGAAACACAAUGGCAAUACAUCCAAAUUGAAGCAUAUGUUGGUCUCCCUCUGCAGUCAAAUGUUGCGUGUUUCUGAUUGCGCUCAGAUCCCGGCUGCAGGUUUCUUGUAAACAUCUAGUUGGCCACUUUGAAAACAGGAUGUUGGACUAAUGUUCUAAUCUGAUCUGGGGGGUGGGGAGUAUUUUCUAACCUCCCUUUAGAAAAUGCUCUUUUUCAUCUGCUUCACACAGACAGACCCCUUCACCGUGUUAUGAAUUCCGUUCCCCAUUCAUUACAUGUGUCUAUCUCUGCUUCCACAAAGGUAAAGUCAGGCAUGAAUAAUGCUAAACUUAUGAGUGUUGCUGUCAUUGGGUUCUAUCAGUUUUCUGCUUACACCAUGGGUGAAUGGAUCUGCCCAUUUUGCACUCUUUCUCUCUCUCUGUUCAGUUUGCAACAUCUGUUUGCAAUUUGAAAAGGAAAGAAGAUAAUUAACCAGCAUUUUAGAGCAAAUUUAUCUUUGCAUACUCAUUCUCUCAAGGAAAUUUCCCUAAUUUACUGCAUUUUGGUGUGCUAUUUUUGCCACUCUGAAGGGGGUACCCUGGAUUCAUGAGCCGUGGGACAGUGUGCAAGGCUGGGCUUUGUCAGCAUAGAACACCUGUGGCUCAGAAAUCUGUACUGGUUGCAAAUUUGCUACUGCGCUGAGUUCAAGGUGUUACUAUUAGUAUAUAAAGCCCUUAACAACUUGGGACCAGUUUACCUACGAGACCGUCUUACCCCACAUAUGCCAACACAACUGCUUUGAUUGGCAGAAUUGCCAUAUCGCAGGUGCCACGUAAUACCUAUUCCACCUUUGUAGGAACUUUACUGUUUAGUGUGACAGCAGCUACACUUUGGAACUCCCUGCCACUUGAUAGCAAUCAGGUGCCUUCAGUGUAUUCUUUUCUGCAACAUUCUGGUUUACACAAGCCUACCCAGAGAGCUGGUGGGAGUUUUAAUUUCUUUCCGUCUAUUGUGGCUUUAACUUUUUGUCUGUUUUAAAUUAUUGCUGUAAAAAUGAAAUAAAAUUCAGUGAGUAUUUUUUUGGUUUCAUUCGUUUUGGAAACUGCUCUAAGGUUCUUUCUACAAUCAAUUAUAAAUUUUAUCAACCAAACCAACCAGACAGACAGACUGGAUCCUAGCCCCAGCCCUGAGUCACUUGGAUGGAAGCUCUGCCUCAGUUCUUCUGCACAUGAAAUGGGUACAGAAUGAUACAAGGCUGAAGAAUGAUAAAAGGAGAAUUGCCAGUUUGCACCUAUAAAGAAUCAUUGAGACUGGGAAUUUGACCACAAACUCAAGGUGGUUUCUGAAAGUUAAGGGACCAGGCUGAAAAGUGAUAUGAGUUGGUCUCGCAGGUCUUCAAGACGUCCGAGUCAGAUUCUGUUCCACUUUUCACUUUUUAAUAGGCUGUUACAGGCCGUUACCAAAUGAGAAGAUUUCACAUUAACCUCGGGGAGAUUAAAGGGCUGUCGGCUAAGAUUUAUUCUCUUCUGUUGGAAAAAGGACCAAGGGAAGGCAAAUUGAUAGUUUUGUGAGGUGAAACAUUCUCGGCAGAAUGAAGACCAGGGAUUUAAAGGGGGAGGCGCAAAAAGUAACAGCAAUUCUCAUGGGCUCUUCCUCCAUUAUUACUAUUUUUUAAAAGCUUAUUGAAUCAUUAUACAGAGCGUAUCGCAUUUGCCUGCCUUUGAAAAAGUUCCAGAUUAAUUGAAUUCUGGAAGUCAGGGGACUGGAGAUGUAUUUGUUGGACUUACAAAAUCAACAGCUAGUGUCUGGCAAAGGAUAAUGAAGAUUAAUUAUAAACCACUGGAAGUAGAUGAUCACCUAGUCAUCCCCUGUGCUUGAUACCCAUGCCUCUCCCUCCUCGGCCCAAUCUCUGCCUUCUUUUGAUUGUAUGCGCCCUGAGGCAGGGGCCUAACUUUUGCCCGACUACAUUGUUCACAGUAGUACUGUUAAAUAGACAUAAAUACAGUAAUUAAUUUUCCCAGUAGCGAUGUAUGGAAGUGAGAGCUGGACCAUAAAGAAGGCUGAUCGCCGAAGAAUGGAUGCUUUUGAAUUCUGGUGCUGGAGGAGACUCUUGAGAGUCCCAUGGGCUGCGAGAAGAUCAAACACAUCCAUUCUGAAGGAAAUCAGCCCUGAGUGCUCACUGGAAGGACAGAUCCUGAAGCGGAGGCUCCAAGACUUUGGGCACCUCAGGAGAAGAGAAGACUCCCUGGAAAAGACCCUGAUGUUGGGAAAGAUGGAGGGCACAAGGAGAAGGGGACGACAGAGGAUGAGAUGGUGGGACAGUCUUCUCGAAGCUACCAGCAUGAGUUUGACCCAACUGCGGGAGGCAGUGGGAGACAGGAGUGCCUGGCAUGCUCUGGUCCAGGGGGUCAUGAAGAGUCGGACACGACUAAAUGACUCAACAACAACACAGUAAUUAAUAGCCUUGUUGUGGCUUUCCUGGAGGGCUGUGGGAGGCAGUGUUGGAGAGGGCCUGGGAGAUCUGAGUUCAAAUCACCACCCAGGAAUGAAGUUCACAAGGUGACCUUGGGCUAGUCAGUGUCUCACAGCCCAACCUACUUCGCAGGGUUGUUGUUUGGAUGAGAUGGGGAGGGAUGAAACAUACUAUUAUGUACUGAAGUUCUCACCCUGGGCCAGCAGGGGGAUACUGUAGAUAGUUCAGGUCCACAUAUGCAAAUAAGGGAUUGAAAGUGACGUUCAGUGAUUGGAUAGUUACAGAAAGUUGUUACAGUAACGUUGUACUGGAGCUCUAUAUAAGCAGGCUGACUGAACCCUUCAGUUCAGUUCUGUUCUGGGUCUGUGAAUAAACAAGAGCUGUUGAAGAAUCGCUGUGUCGUCUGAUAUGUUCACCCACAACUUAACACGUACGUUGAGCUGUUUGCAGGAAGGGUGGGAGAGAAAUGUAAUUAAAAAGGAUGGAUGGAAGGAAGGAAGGAAGGAAGGAAGGAAGGAAGGAAGGAAGGAAGGAGAAAAACUUUCUGCACCCACUUUUCCCACUUGCAUAAUUUUUAUAAACACUGAUCGUGCCCCCUCUUGCCCCCCAUUAAAUAACCCCCCAAAGUCGCAAACGUUUCUUAUAGAGGAGAUGCUUCAGCCCAUUAAUCUGUUUGAAGAGCAACUGUAAUCAACAAAUUACGCUACAAGGACUACAAGAAGUUUUGUAAGGAGAAAUAUAUGAAAUAUUGCAAAGAAGAGAAAGAAGAGAGACAUUAGUUAAGAGAUUUAAAUAUAAUAGUGAAAGUAAGAAAUGUUAAGUGAAAAGAUGGGGAAAUUUUCCGAUGUGAUUGAUGGAAGUCAAAAAAUUGUACAAGGUAUAAAAGUAUGUUUAAUAAUUGUUGAAAAUGAUAUGAUAAAAAAUAUACAAAGAGGCUGGAAAAAUAAUCUUUUUAGCUGCUGUUCCUCCCGCUCUCCGAUAUGUUUUUGGGACUGGCUCCAAACGUGGCUGCACCGUAGAUCUUUAUAAGGUUAUCAAAAGUGUCUGUUAAUUGUUUAGGUCCCAAGAGCAGAGAGCUGUGGAGACCUUCUGAUAGGAACACAGAAAUCUGCCUUAUUGUCAUGCCAUCAGUCCAUCAACCUCUAUAUUGUCUACACUGGCUGGCAGCAGUCCCCCAGAGUUUCAGGCAGGGGACUGAACCUUCUGCAUACUUCAACCCAUACUUUUUAAUAAUCGCACACUGGCUGGAGAAAUCCUCGGUUAACGCUACUGGACCAAGAAAUUGUUGUUCUGUCGUAUGUUUAGAAUACACAAAUAGAAGACGAGAAGAGCCUUGCUGGAUCCUGCGGUCGGAAUCCAGAUGCAAGGGGACAUGAGCACAAUAGCAAUUUCCCGCUCGUGAUUCUCAGCGACUCUGACCCUGCAGGCAUCAUCAGUAAUUGUCCUUUCUCUGUGACAUUUCCCAAUCCUCUUUCAGAGCCCAGGAUGUUGGUGGCCAUCCCUGCAUCUUGAAGUGAUGGAUUCCAGGGCGCUGCUGCGUGAAGAAGUUGUAAGAAAGGGAGAUAGCUUGAGCUCCUUACGUGGUUGAUUUCUGUGGGUCGCGGCAUCUGGGUUUUGAAGGGCAGAGCUUAACUCUUUCCGAAGACACAGGGCUCUGAUCCCUGACUUUGCCUUCCGCUUGCUCCUAGAUCUGGUAUAAAAAGGACCCUAACCAUUAGGUCCAGUCGCGGCCGACUCUGGGGUUGUGGCGCUCAUCUCGCUUUAUUGGCCGAGGGAGCCGAUGUACAGCUUCCGGGUCAUGUGGCCAGCAUGACUAAGCCGCUUCUGGCGAACCAGAGCAGCGCACGGAAACGCCGUUUACCUUCCCACUGGAGUGGUACCUAUUUAUCUACUUGCACUUUGACGUGCUUUCGAACUGCUAGGUUGGCAGGAGCAGGGACUGAGCAAUGGGAGCUCACCCCGUCACAGGGAUUCGAACCACCGACCUUCCGAUUGGGAAGUCCUAGGCUCUGUGGUUUAACCCACAGUGCCACCCGCGUCCCAUUAGAUCAGGUAUACCCCUCCCUUGUUCUCCUCCUUUCCCUGGGAGUCCGCAAAUGGCAGCACCCGCUCUCGAGGCUUAUGGGAUUAACAUUAAAGUGUGCAUGCUUAGUGAUGGUUCACUGCCCGCAUAUGCAUAACUUUGCCGUCCGAAGCACCGCACAUACGCUCUGCCUUCUUUCAUUUCUGUGUAAUAAACCAAUCUUUUUAUGCUUUCAUAGAAUUGUGGAGUUGGGUGGGACCCUGAGGAUCAUUUAGCCCAACCCCCUGCAAUCCAAGAAUCUCUCUUUUUUUAAAAAAAAAUAACAUUAUUGAGAAUUUCAACAUAACAGGUUAUCAAAACAUAUCAUCUUCAUCAUUUCCCCCCUUUCCCCCCUCCCAAAAACCCUCCCCCCAAGACUUCCCUCAGCUCCUCUCUCUGAUUUCUCAAGACAUGUUAUUCUCUGCACAUUGUAAAAUUGCAUAGAUCCUUAAAUUAUCUGUCUAUUAUGUUAACAAUAAAUUUGUGUAUGUUUGUUCGAAACCUGCCAAGGAGUCCAAUUCGUUAUUGUUGUUUUUUUAAAUAAUUUGUAAAAAGUUCCCAUUCUUCUUUGAAGUCACAGUUGUCCUUAUCUUGCAAUUUGUAUGUCAGUUUCGCCAGUUCUGCGUAGUUCAUCAAUUUCUCUUGCCACUGUUCUUUGGAAUGAGUUUCCUCAUUCUUCCAUCCUUGCGCUAUUAAGACUCUUCCCGCUGUUGUAGCAUACAUAAAUAAUUUUUUUAUUUUCCUUGGCAGGUCUUUUCCUACAAUCCCUAACAAAAAUGUUUCUGGAUUUUUUUACAAAUGUUUAUUUAAACAUUUUAUUCAACUCAUUGUAUAUCAUUUCCCUUUUUAAAAAAAAUUUCUCUGCAUUCCCACAACAUAUGGUAAAAGGUCCCUUCUUUUUCUUUACAUUUCCAACAUAUGUUUGACCCAGUUUUAUACAUUCUUGCUAUCUGUACUGGUGUUAUAUACCAUCUGUACAUCAUUUUCAUGUAAAUUUCUUUCAGAAGAGAACAAUCUGUAAAUUUGCAAUCCAAGAAUUUCAGGUAAAGCAUCCAUGACAGACAGCCUUCCAACCUCCACGUAAAAACCUCCAGGAAAGGAGAGUCCACAACCUCCAGUGGGAGACCUUUCCACUGUCUAACAGCUCUCACUGUCAGAAAGUUGUUCCUGAGGUUGAAGGCAGCUAUCAUAUCACCUGUCAGUCUCCUCUUCUCCAGGCUAAACAUCCCCAACUCCCUCAACUCUUCCUCAUCAGGCUUGGUUUCCGGACCCUUGAUCACCUUGGUCACUCUCCUCUGCACAUGUUCCUAAAAUUCUGACGUCCAGAACUGGACACAGUAUUCCAGGUAUGGUCUGACCAAGGCAGAAGAGAGGGGUUCUAUUAUUUCCCUUGAUCUGCACAGUAUGCUUCUGUUGAGGCAGCCUAGAAUAGCAUUUGCUUUCUUUGCUGCUGCAUCGCACUGUGGACUCAUGUUUAAAGGUAAAGGGACCCCUGACCAUUAGGUCCAGUUGUGACCGACUCUGGGGUUGCGGCGUUCAUCUCGCUUUACUGGCUGAUGGAGCCGGUGUACAGCUUCUGGGUCAUGUGGCCAGCAGGACCAAGCCGCUUCUGGCAAACCAGAGCAGUGCAUGGAAACACCGUUCGUUUACCUUCCUGUUGGAGUGGUACCUAUUUACCUACUUGCACUUUGACGUGCUUUCAAACUGCUAGGUUGGCAGGAGCAGGGACUGAACAAUGGGAGCUCACCCCGUUGCGGGGAUUCGAACCGCCGACCUUCUGAUCAGCAAGUCCUAGGCUCUGUGGUUUAACCCACAGCUCCACCCACAUCCCUUGGACUCAUGUUUAGCUUUUGGUCUACUAAGACCCUAAGUCCUAUUCUUAAUCAGCUGAUUGUCUAGCCCCACUGUACAUCAGGGAGCGCUGUGUGGAGAGAGUCUCUUCCUUUAAAUUCCUAGGAGUUUAUCUCAUUGAAGACCUUACUUGGAAAAUCAAUACAUCCCAGGUGGUUAAGAAAGCCCAACAGAGACUCCAUCUCCUCAGAGUGUUGCGAAAGAACGAUGUCAAUCAACAUUUGAUGAUCUCCUUCUACCGGCCCACAAUAGAAAGUGUCCUUUCAUACUACAUCAUGGUGUGGGACGCUGGUUUGACAUCAGCUGAUAGGAAGUGCCUACAGAGGGUGGGGAAUACAGCACAAGAUAUUAUGGGCUGUCCUGUGAAUCCGCUGGAUGACAUCGCGGAAGAACAAGAACGUUGCCUCAGGAGAGGGAGGAAAAUUCUCAGGGAUGAUUCACACCCUGGCCAGCACUUGGCACUUUCUUGAUCUCUUGCCCUUGGGCAGAAGAUAUAGAAGCAUGAUUAGUCGCACCAACAGGGUAAGGAACAGCUUCUAUCUGUGGGCUGUUAGGCUGCUGAAUGAAAAGACAGGGCAACUGAAUGAAACUGAAUGAAAAAGACAGGGCAACUGACUUUUGGGUUUGGUGGGUGUGCGUCAGUAAACGAGGGGAAUUAAGACGAAGAGAGCUGAGUGGCGGGUGCUCGUGUAAUCUCACUGUAUACAAGUUGUACAAGGGACAAUAAAGUAUUUCAAUUGUCCCUGCAGCUGGAGCUCUGAGGUAGAGUGCCUCUGAACAGGGAGGCUCCUUUCAACAAUCCUGGUUCAGAGCUCUUAUUAAGGCAAUUUUCCUCUACAAAUUUGUCCGCUCCUUUUUUAAAAAAGAAAAAAGAAAGCCAUAUCAAGUAGGGGUCAUCACCUCCACAUCUCAUCGUCCUUCAACUACAACCCAUAAUAUAUGCAGCUUUACCACAUCUCUAAUCAUCAUUUCAGUUCUUUUGGCUUUACAAAAGGCUCUCUUUUAUCCUACAGUUGAAGCCACGAUUAAUCUGCCAGAGCUUGCCUGCUCCUUGCUCCCCCUCCCCCUGCAUAAAAAAAUAUCUCUUCAAACUUCAUAUUAAUUGCCAUCCCUGGGGUGGGGCAGGGAAGCAUUUUAAUAUUCUACCAAACUUCCCUCUUCUGCUUACAUGAAGUCAGAGAGGAGAGACGCUGUUCUGUUCUUCUCCGAAAGUGCCCCCGGAGGAUCUGCCUUAUGAUAAUUUCCAGCCCUGCAGAACCGGGGGGCACAUUUUGACAGAGAAUGCCAUCUCCUGGAAGGCGACCCUAUUUCAGAGCCAGCGGCUGCUAGCAAACACCCCUCAGCCUGCAUUUGUUACCCUCCUGAUUUCCAUGUUCAUUUGCUGAAACCGAACAAGCACUUUGCAUUUAAAUGUGCCAAUGGGUGCAGAGUAAGCCAAAGUGGAGGGGGAAAUGGGAUGGGAAAAUGACUAUUAAUGCACUAUAUCCAGUGGUUUUGUUUUUUUGAAAAACAUUUUGUUCAGUGCAACAGCACCUGUGCCUACAUGGUGCCACCAUACUUCUCCCUGUGUUCAGGGUUCAAACUCUCCCUUGUUUGCUUAAGGGGUUCAUGCAUACAGUAAUAUAGUUCGUGCCUUUUUACUGCAAGUCUUGUGCUUUUUGACUUUUGCCGUGGCAUUUAUUCUACUUAUGCUGUGAAAUGUGCUUAAAAAACCCAAAACCUUGACAUAGUAAAAGGUAAAGGGACCCCUGACCAUUAGGUCCAGUCGUGACCGACUCUGGGGUUGCGGCGCUCAUCUCGCUUUACUGGCCGAGGGAGCCGUCGUACAGCUUCCGGGUCCUGUGGCCAGCAUGACUAAGCCGCUUCUGGCGAACCAGAGCAGCGCACGGAAACGCUGUUUACCUUCCCGCCAGAGCGGUACCUAUUUAUCUACUUGCACUUUGACGUGCUUUCGAACUGCUAGGUUGGCAGGAGCAGGGACCGAGCAACGGGAGCUCAACUCGUUGCGGGGAUUCGAACCGCCGACCUUCUGAUCAGCAAGUCCUAGGCUCUGUGGUUUAACCCACAGCGCCACCCGCGUCCCUAUGCUGUGUGUCCCUAUGUGCUUAAAAACCCCAAAACCUUGGCAUAGUAAUCAUCGCAAUUAAAGAGACUUUAUUUAAAAAUUAUUUCUUAAAGAUAUUAAUAAGAGCCUGUGUGUGUGUGUGUGUGUUUAUUACAUCCACAGAGCACCUUUUCUUCGAAGGAGCCUGAGGUGGUGCCACAUGGUUUUCCUCCUCUCCAUUUCAUCCUCACAACCACCCUGUGAGGUAGGCUAGGUUGAUAGAUGGUGACUGGCCCAAGGUCACCCAGUGAGUUUUAUGACUGAGUGGGGAUUCGACCCCUGCUCUCCCAGGUCCAAAUCCAAUACUCUGAACCACUACACCACACUGGCUCUUAUUUAAAAAUCUUAUCUUUUGAAUGUUUCAAAGAGUUGGGGUUUUUUUUUUACUAUAAUUUUAUUGUUUUAUUCUCUUUGUAAAUCGCUUGGAGGGCUGUGUGUGUGUGUGUGUGUGUGUGUGUGUGUGUGUGUGUGUUGCAAUCAAGCGAUGUGUGAAUUUUAUGAAAUAAAUAAAAUAUAAUACCUCUUGGGUGGCUUGCAAAGCUGGAGCUUUUGACUUCCCAAAAUCAGCCCCCUGCAGCUGCCGAUCAGGGAGCGGAGAAGAGAAGGGGAGACUUGCACCAGUGAGUAGACUCUGCUCUUCCCUCUUGGAGGGUGUUGCUGUGAAGCACUCUGUGCGUGCUUAUGCGCCAUGGCAGGCAGAGUUUUAAAGAAAGGCAAGGGCACAUCAUUCCCCCCCUUGCCUUUCAUAUUCCCAGUUUUGCACUCUUGGGUUUGUAGGCAUGGUCUGUUUUGGUUUUCCUCCUAGUCAAUUUCACAGCCCACUUCUUCAGCAAAAGCUUAAAGGGGCUGCGACAUCCUUGAGACACAAUAGCAGGGUGGUAAUGGGAGAGAGAUAAUUGUUGGGCUGUGAGCGGAGAAAAUUGCCUUUUCAUAGUUAAAGCCUGUCUGAGAGCCAGAAAAAAUAUAUAUAUUAUUUCCCUCUCUCUUUACUAUCGGUUUUUGGCCUUUUAAAUAAAUAAACACCAAAAAGAGAGGAAAAAGUCUGGUUUUAUAAAACCGGAACAUGAUUUACCCUGAAACUGCUCCGUAGCACUUUAUCAGUUAGAGGGCAACAAGUUAAUAAGCAUGGGGGUGAUGCAAAUUGGAGUGGGGUGGGGGAAUAAUCUCACAGAUGAGAUGUGAAUUGUGGGGAAGGAAGUCCGGAAAUCAAAGCAGGAGAAUGAAAGCACUGCAGCGCCAUAGAACUGUAGAGUUGUAGAUAUGAUAGCUAAGCAGUUGGCUCCUUACCUCUCUCGCCCUGACCUAGCCACUGUGAUCCAUGCGACGGUCACCUCCAGACUGGAUUAUUGUAACUCACUCUACGUGGGGCUGCCCUUGAGACUGACCCAGAAACUCUAGUGGGUGCAGAAUGCCGCAGCGAGACUCCUUAUGGGGUCCUUGCUGUGGAAUCACAUUCACCCAGUGCUAUACCAGCUGCACUGGUUCCCUGUGGGGUACAGGAUCAGGUUUAAGGUGCUGUUUUUAACCUUUAAAGCCCUAUAUUGCCUAGGACCCUCAUAUCUACGGGACCGCUUCUCCUGGUAUGUCCCAUGGAGGACCUUACUGUCUUCAAACAAAAACAUCUUGGAGAUCCCGGGCCACAGGGAGGUUAGGCUGGCCUCAGCCAGAGCCAGGGCUUUUUCUGUCGUGGUCCUGAUCUGGUGGAACGCUCUGUCACAAGAGACUAGAGCCCUGCAGGACUUAACAUCUUUCUGCAGGGCCUGCAAGACAGAGCUGUUCCACCAGGCCUUUGGCCAAGGCACAGUCUGACCUCCUCCUAUGGUAAUCCUUAUAGAACUCUAGCCCAAUGGUUGCCAUUAAUUUGAUUUUGAAUUGAUUUUAGAAUGAAUUGAUUUUAGAAUGCUGUGUUACUUUAUUGUUGUUAGCCGCUCUGAGCCCGGCUUCGGCUGGGGAGAGCGGGAUAUAAAUAAAAUAUUAUUAUUAUUAUCAUCAUCUGAAGGUAUCCCAAGGGCUAUCACAUGGAAGGUGGAGCAAGCUUGUUUUCUCCUGCUCCGGAGGGUAGAACCUGAACUAAUGGAUUCAUCGAAUCAAAGAAUUGUAGAGUUGGAAGGGACCCCAACGGUCAUGUAUUCCAACCCCCUGCAAUGCAGGAAUGAAAGCUGAAGAAUCCCUGACAGAUGGCAACCCAACCUCUGCUUAGCAACCUCCAAGGAAGGAGAGUCUACAACUUCCCAAGGGAGUCUGUUCCGCUUUCAAACGGCUCUUAUCGUCAGAAAGUUCUUCCUAAUGUUUAGUUGAAAUUUCUUUUCUUGACAUUUGAAUGCUUUAGCUGAGAUUCCUGAAUAGCAGGGGGUUGGAAAGGGGAGUCUCUUCAAACUACAGUGGUACUUUGGUACUAGAACGGCUUGGCUCCUGAACAAAUCAGCUCCAGAAUGCCGCAAACCCUGAAGUGAGUGUUCCGGUUUGCGGACGCUUUUCAGGAGCCGAACGUCUGACGUGGCUUCCACGGCUUCCGGUUGAGUGCAGGAAGCUCCUGCAGCCAAUCGGAAGCCACGCCUUGGUUUUUGAACUGUUUUGGAAGUCGAACGGACUCCCGGAACGGAUUAAGUUUGAGAACCAAGGUACCACUGUAUACAAUUCUACGAAUCCAUUGGUUCAGGUCCUCCCUUCUGGAGCAGGAGAAAACAAGCUUGCUCCACCUUCGACGUGACAGCCCUUGGGAUAACUACAGAUGGCUAUCAUAUCUCCUUUGUGUUCUCUUCUCCAGGCUAAAUAUCAGAAAGGCGGACGCUACAGAACAUGAGAGUGUUCCUGCUCCAUGAUUGCAGUCAUGGGAUUUUUGUCAAUCACAUGACUGUGUAUGUUUUGACUCCACAGAAUGGGAAGUGACGGAGACAGGAUGUUUGUGUUACUGUGUUCCGUGAAGUGGGACUGUUGUCCUUUGUUCUUUUUCUCUUUGCUGCCUGAUGCUAGAGAGAGAGGGAGCCAUGUUGCAGUGCUCCGUGUGUGUGUGUUUAGAUGUAAAUAAAGUAGAUUAGCCAAAAUGCUGAGUUGCUGAGGUCUGUUACGCAAGCUGCGAAGACUCUGCGGAUCCCUAGGUGUGCUGAUGUCUGUUGGCAUUGUUCACUGUGAUGUUCUGGCAGAAGAAAGCUUUUGAAGCUCCCAAACGAUUGACCAGGAGGGAGGGAACAUGCCGGUCGGGCAUGUGUCUCUGCCAGGGUCCUACUCGAGAGUAGGAUGACCUCCUGACAGAGAGUGCCUGUCACCAGGCGGAGGUGGUGGUGCUUGGGCUGUGAACCUUCAUGAGACAAUUAGGGCGUCUUACAGCAAGCACACAAGGCUGUCCUAGACAGCCUGUCUUUUGAGCAUUAGCCGGGAUUUUCUUGCACGAAGCUUAUGCAGAGGAUCACAUUCAAAGCACAUGGCUUCCACCCAAGGAACCCAGUGAACUGUAGUUUACCCCUCGUUGUUGUUGUUGUUGUUUAGUUGUGUCCGCCUCUUCAUGACCUCCUGGACCAGAGCACGCCAGGCACUCCUGCCUUCCACUGCCUCCCGCAGUUUGGUCAAACUCAUGCUGGUAGCUUCGAGAACACUAUCCAACCAUCUCGUCCUCUGUCCUCCCCUUCUCCUUGUGCCCUCCAUCUUUCCCAACAUCAGGGUCUUUUCCAGGGAGUCUUCUCUUCUCAUGAGGUGGCCAAAGUAUUGGAGCCUCAGCUUCAGAAUCUGUCCUUCCAGUGAGCACUCAGGGCUGAUUUCCUUAAGAAUGGAUACGUUUGAUCUUCUUGCAAUCCAUGGGACUCUCAAGAGUCUCCUCCAGCACCAGAAUUCAAAAGCAUCAAUUCUUCGGCGAUCAGCCUUCUUGAUGGUCCAGCUCUGACUUCCAUACAUCACUACUGGGAAAACCAGAGCUUUAACUAUACGGUCCUUUGUUGGCAAGGUGAUGUCUCUGCUUUUUAAGAUGCUGUCUAGGUUUGUCAUUGCUUUUCUCCCAAGAAGCAGGCAUCUUUUAAUUUUGUGGCUGCUGUCACCAUCUGCAGUGAUCAUGGAGCCCAAGAAAGUCAAAUCCCCUUCAUGGAUUGCCGUGGCGAAGGGGCUUGAAUAACUCAGAGAAGCUAUGAACUAUGCCGUGCAGGGCACCCAAGAUGAACAGGUCAUAGUGGAGAGUUUUGACCAAACGUGAUCCACCUGGAGGAGGAACCGGCAAGCCACUCCAGUAUCCCUGCCAAGAAAACUCAAUGGACAAAGACAACAGUUUUCCCCUCACGGGGCUACAAUUCCCAGCCUCUGACCAAGCUCCAGUUGCCUGGUUUCUUUGGGGGGAAAGACGUGUGCUGAAAAUGUAGGGUGUGUACACAGCCAUAUAGCAUCAAGGCAGUAAGUCCAGAACCAGCAUCUGGGAAGCUGAGGGGAAAGACUCAGCGCCACCAUUAUCCUCCCCAGCCUUUUGAUUUCAAUCAGCCUCAGAAGAAGAAAUGAGGGGAGCCAGCUGUGAAUCAUCUACCCUGCUGAGAAGACCCUUUACCCCCUCUCUGAACUACAUUCAUUUAUUUAUUGCUUGUUAACUUUCAUUUUACUCUGCCCUUUAGCUCUAGCUUAUUUCCUUGUAAUACUGAAUUUAUUCUACAUCCCUCUAAUUGUUGGUUUUGUCCCAUUUAUUGACACGUUUCGCAGACUGGGUUGCUAACCCCCACACCCAGUGCCUUAUAUUUUGAUAAUUAGUGGGUGUUUUUCUGUCCUGUUUCUCACGGGCUUUUGGCUAGCCUUAUCGGCUGGCACCCGUUGCUUUUGCUGCUGUUGUCGAAGGGGUAGCAGAGGCUGUCUGCGGAAUUAAUGACAGAGAAACCCUCUUUGCUAAUGCAGCUGUAAGUGGGUGCUUGUGUCUGGUAAUGGGGUCAUCCUAGGGAAAGCGAGAGAUUUCCAGCUGCAAUCCGCCGGCCCUCGAACAAUGACCCUCCCACAGGUGCGCCUCGCCCACUUGUUCCUCUUGAUCAGUUAACAUUGCAAGAGACUGCGGCAGACUGAAUGUUGGUUAAUGUUUGCAGUGCAUUUAGAGACACACUUUCAUGGAAGGCAAUCUUAUUCAGCUAUGAGUGAUCGUCACAGAAAGAAGAGAUAAUAAAAACACCAGUAAAAUGCCUGUUGUCAUGCUUUGUGUGCAUGCCGCAAAAGAGCCUGCCUGCCUGUUUCAGAGACUGCUUCGUUGUGGUGCAGAAUGCUUACUUUAUUAUUAUUAUUAUUAUUAUUAUUAUUAUUAUUAUUAUUAUUAGCUGUCCCGUGAAUCCACUGGAUGACACUGCGGAAGAACGUUGCCUCAGGAGAGUGAGGAAAAUUCUCAGGGAUGAUUCACACCCUGGCUGGCACUUUCUUGAUCUCCUGCCCUCGGGCAGAAGAUAUAGAAGUAGUAGUAGUAGUAAUAAUAAUAAUAAUAAUAAUAAUAAUAAUAAUAAUAAUUUAUUAUUUAUAUCCCGCCCAUCUGGCUUGGUUUCCCCAGCCACUCUGGGCGGCUUCCAACAGAACACUAAAAAACAAUAACCUAUUAAACAUUAAAAGCUUCCCUAAACAGGGCUGCCUUCAGAUGUCUUCUAAAUUUCGGUAGUUGUUUUUCUCUUUGAAUAAUAAUAAAUUAUUAUUUAUCUUUAGAAGCAUGAUUAGUCGCACCAACAGGGUAAAGAACAGCUUCUAUCCGUGGGCUGCUGAAUGAAAAGAUAACAACAGGGCAACUGACUUUCGGGUUUGGUGGGUGUGUAUCAGUAAACGAGGGGAAUUAAGACUAAGAGAGCACGACUGGCGGCAACAUGGCUUCUGAAUCCCAGUUGCUGGAAACUGCAGCAAGAGAGAGUUCUGCUCUUGCGCUCGCAUCCUGCUUGCCGGUUUCCCACUGGGGCACCCGGUUGGUCAUUGUGAGAACAGGAUCCUGGACCGGAUGGGUGCCGAAUGGCCUGAUCCAGCAGCCUCCUCUUACGAUCUCAUCCAUUGUCUAGGGUGGAGAGUGUGCCGUGCUUUACAUUUCCCUGGAAAAGUGAAUGGCAGUGAAAUAAAAAAAAUUAAGGUCAUAUAUACACAUAUAUAAUAAAUGUUCAUAAAUGUACCAACCAAGCGCAUACAUAGAUGUGUGGACCACACGUCUGGAGCAGCACAGGAGGACCGCCCUGUAACCAUUUUCAUUCCCAAACUGACCAAAUGUUUUCUCUGCAAGGAGGGAGGAAGUGGGGCAGCCUCCCCAUUGUCUUUUUGUUCACAAAUCCUGUCCUAAUGGUAUGUCUGUGUAUGAAUAGGGUGAGCCUGUGACCUGGCUCAGGAACUAAGUAUUUGUCAUUACAAAAGACUGGCCAGGCUCCCCAGGGUAUCCAAUCAAGUAAGCAUUAACAGGUAACCUGCCAGACAGGAGGUAAACAACGCACUCAGAUUUCUGUUGUAGACCGCCCUUUCUGUGAUGUAGGUGUGAUGUAUCUGGGGUGGUGGUCUUGAGCUACACCCCUUCUGUGAUGUAUGUAUGAUGUUUCUGGGGGUGGUCUUGGACUCCAGGGCAGGCAAUUUAAAAUGUCUAUAUAAGGGCAGACACACUUUUGUUCUAUAUAAGGGCAGACACACCUUUCCUGCGUGUGAGGGGAGCACCCUGUUGCAAAAGUUCAAUAAAGAUCAGGCUUACUAGCUGCUUUGCUUCUCAAUAUUCUCUAGUUGGCCUCUGUUAUUUUCCCCUACCAAUGGAGAACCUGCAACAGACUCUACAAGGGCUCUUGUGUCCCCCAUAAGGGAAUAAGGGCAGAUUUACGUUUAUUACAGCAGCCACGCUUGUAAAGAGGAGAGAUUCAAGAGGUGUUUUGAAGGGAAAUGUUAGGGUGGGGUGCAGAUCUGAAGGGUGAAUCCAGCCCAGGAAAGUGCACUCAAAAAUUCAGCCCCCUCAAGCUGCUCCACUAAGCCGUGUGCAAUUAUUCACUCUGUGUUACCGAAAGUUCAUCUGCUUAUCCCACCAGGCCAAUUCAGUGGCGCGUUAUAGGUAACCCAUUAGGAACAAUUGCAAAAGUGCCACAGAAGUAAUCGGGGAAGAAGAGGAGCCCAAUAAAGAUAAUGAAGGGGUUUAUUAGCACAUCCAAGCCUUGCCUCUGUAGAGCUACCUGGGGAGGCACCGUUACGCUCAAUGCAUGUUAUGGGAAUAACAAGUGAGCAAGCAAGCGAGUUAGAGGAUAAAUGAAUAUUAAAGACAAGGUUGUCAGCUGGGCCCAGUGGUUCCCUCCAGUCGUCUUAGGCUGCAGCUUCCCAGUAGAGGCUGCCAUGGCGCUGCCUCGGCCAUUCGCACGGCUGCAGCGGUCCCCAGCGUCAUUCGCACCCAGAGCUGGGCAAGGGGCUGGCCUGCUGCCGCCACUGCUGCUGUUCAAUACUGGUUGGGCUGCAGGGAAAGGAGAGGGAAGGGACUCUUCCCUGUGUUUUGCAUCUAUUAAAAAAGCUCCCUUAGCAAAUUUCGGUUCCCGGAAGGGGCGCCAUUUUCUGAUUCGCCUCAGGCGGCGAAACAUCUUGGCCUGGCUCUGGCCGGCAUUCAAGUCAGGACUGGGCUGGAGGAGGGGGCGGGCAGCUGAGCCCCCCUGCCAUGACUCAGUCUAAACCCCAAAGAACUCGCAAGCCUGCCGGCUCUCUCUUUUUCACCGCCAAUUCAUCGCUCCGUUCUUACACACCGCCGAUCGGCUUUUAAUUGCGCUUAAGCAAUCUGCACAGAAUUAGGGCAGCUUUGGGGGAAAUGAAAAGAGCAAAAAAAAAACCCUAAGUAAGCCCCCAGACGGGAAUGAGUGAGAGGAACCAAAGAGCAGAGGAAUAUCAAGGCGCUAAUUUACCCCAUAAAGCCAGGGCCAGGGGAGGCCCCGUCAUACCGUUGAAAACGAUCUCUCUGAGACUUGGCAAUUCUCUGCCAGCCCCUGGCCCCCCUCAGCCGGGAGAAACACUUCAGUGGUAAUUAUGCACAACAGAUGUCUCUCCUGCCAGUGCUUUUGUAAUCUUAGUGAAGACAUUCAGCACUCAACCCUUGGCGCUGUGGAUCUCUUUCCAAUUUCGAAGUUACAAAAUGAACAGGACAAGCUGGCAGCUCCCCAGGUAGGAAAGUGAAGAGAGAGAGAGAGAGAGAGAGAGCGCAAUUCCUGUGGCCUCAGGGUGCCAAAGAGGAGAUAGCCACAUGACUGAGGCGUAGGGUGAACAGGACAGGAGCAUCCCAGAACCUGAGAUUUCAGGGUCCAGAUCUCAGACCUAGAGGCAGCACCUGCCGAUGUUCUGUGGCAGCCUCCAGUGAUCACAGAAUCAAAAUAAUAAUAAUAAUAAUAAUAAUAAUAAUAAUAAUUUAUUUGUACCCCACCCAUCUGGCUGGGUUUCCCUAGCCACUCUGGGCGGCUUCCAACAAAGAUUAAAAAUACAUUAAAAUGUCACACAUUAAAAACUUCCCUGAACAGGGCUGCCUUCAGAUGUCUUCUAAAUGUCAGGUAGUUGUUUAUCUGUUUGACAUCUGGUGGGAGGGUGUUCCACAGGGCGGGUGCCACCACCGAGAAGGCCCUCUGCCUGGUUCCCUGUAGCUUUGCUUCUCGCAGGGAGGGAACCGCCAGAAGGCCCUCGGCGCUGGACCUCAACGUCCGGGCUGAACGAUGGGGGUGGAGACCCUCCUUCAGGUCUACUGGGCCGAGGCCGUUUAGGGCUUUAAAGGUCAACACCAGCACUUUGAAUUGUGCUCGGAAACGUACACAAUGUAUGGAAAUGAUUAAGGUUCCCCUGGCGGUUCCCCUAUGAAGAAAUGUUUGGGGACUUUUUAGUUUAGAGAAAAGUCAAGGAAGAGGUGGCACGAUAGAAAUUCAUAAAAGUAUGCAUGUCUUGGGGGGCGGGGAAUGGAAAGGUGGAGACUUGAAUUUAGGAUUGGGAAAAUGAAAGAGAUGCUGAAAUUACCAGAUUUGCCCAUUCCUAGCUGCGCAAUCACGGGAUCUCAGGGUUGUAGAGCUGGAAGGCCUCCAAAGGGUUAUCUAGUCCAAACUCUAUGCAGGAAAUGCAGCUAAAGAAUUCCUGUCAGAAGGCCAUCUGAGCGGCAUCUGUCUAUCUCAGGAGACUGUUAAGUUGUGGGCGAACAUAUCAGGCGACACAGCGAUUCUUCAAAUAGCUCUUGUUUAUUCACAGGCCAGAACAGAACUGAACUGAGGAGCUCAGUCAGCCUGCUUAUAUAGAGCUCCAGAACAACGUAACUGUAGCAACUUUCUAAAACUAUCCAAUCAUUGGACGUCACUUUCGAUCCUUCAUUUGCAUAACUAUCUGCAGUAUCCCCCUGCUGGCCCAGGGUGAGAACUUCAGUACAUAACGGAGACAAUGGAGGGGUGCGUCUUCGGGGGUGAAGUCAAGUGGUUGGAAGAAUGCAGCCCUGUUGUGACUGUCGAGGCUGAUAUGGGAGAGACAUGUUUUGUUGCAGCUGGGGCAGAUGAAGGCGUCCAGUUGUGCUGUUGCAGAUGCACCAGGGCGUUUCUUCUCUCAGCGCUCCACUCAGUGGUCAUUCCUCUUCUGGUCACUGCUGUGCACACCUGACCUUUUGAGGGAGUUCUGCUGUUGAACAGCUCCUACUGACAGAAGGUUCUUCCUAAUGUAAAGUCAGAAUCUCCUUUAUGGUAAUUUGGAUCCAUUGGUUCAAGUCCCAACCUUCUGGAGCAGCAGAAAGCAAGCUUGCUCCAUCUUUCAAGUGGCAACCCUUCAGAUAUUUGAAUCCAUCGCGCACACGCCACCUCUCAGUGUCUGAAUAAGCUGUGGUUCAGCUACGUAACAACUUUUCUAAACAGCAUUCUCACUUAGGAAAUAACUACAUUAUUUAGAAGAAGCAUUCUCAUAAAUUGCCAGGCUGCUCUCCUCUAUAAUGCGUCUUUUAAUGAGCCUCUUGCUUUGGUUUAAUCAUUCUUUUAAUUGAAAAAAAUAAUUCUAUGGCUCCUGAAAGCUGUUCUGUUUGCCCCUAAACUGCCCAUCUGAGUCCUCAUUCAGCACCUCCUUCCAAGUCUUCUCCACUGGCUGGACGUCAAGUCCUGUAACAGACUCAUAAAUGUACAAUUAAGUGCUAACUGAAGCUCCAUGCAGAUAAGCAAGAGACUCUGUUAGUUGGUGGUUUUUCCAUCCAGAUAUGUAUAGGUGCAGCCUGUUCUCAUUGGAGGGGGGGUCCCACUCCCCAACUUGAGGGUACAUCAAGAUCCACCACUCUCGUUGGAGGCACAAGUGGUCUCUGUAGCAGUUGCCCCUGCCCAGUCUGUGGAACGCUUUCCCCAGAGAAGCUGACCUGGUGCCAACACUGUCAUCUGCUGCCAGGUGGAGACAUGUUUAUUCUUCCAGCCUCCCCGGGCAUUUGGGCAAUGACAUGGCUUGGGUGGAACAGGCUAGCUUCUGCACAUGUUUGCCCAGCCCUCCCUGUCCUCCGUCCAAGCAAGCAGAAGGCACUGACCAACAUUCAAGGAUGCAUUCCAGCCAGGCAGAAGAAGAGAGCUUCAGGGGUCAGGUCGAGAAAACGGAAGGGUCACAUUCUGUGCUGGGACCUGAGGUUCUCUCCUGCCAUAGACAAUUAUAUUUAUUUUAUUUUAUUCUUAUUUUUAUCUUAUCGUAUAUUAUCUUUUAUCUUAUCUUAUCUUAUCUUAUCUUAUCUUAUCUUAUCUUAUCUUAUCUUAUCUUAUCUUAUCUUCUUUUAUCUUUUAUCUUUUAUCUUUUAUCUUUUAUCUUUUAUCUUUUAUCUUUUAUCUUUUAUCUUUUAUCUUUUAUCUUUUAUCUUUUAUCUUUUAUCUUUUAUCUUUUAUUUUAUCUUAUCUUAUCUUAUCUUAUCUUCUUAUCUUAUCCCCGGCCAAGAUGGCUAACCUCAGGUAUAAAAACAAUUGAUUAAAAUACAACUUAAAAACCAGAAUAAAAUACUACUUAAAAUGCAGCCUCAUUUCAGUGAGAGCCCAGAGCAAAAACUGUUUGGGGGGAGAAAACGUCAAAUCUUCACCAAGGCCAACUAUCCAGACUGGUCCUACGUGGGCCAGAAAAGCCAGGGAAGCUCCCAAGUAGUAGUUCCAUCACAGAAGGAAAAGGAAAGAGGGGGAGGGGAUCAGGCUGGUUCCAAGCCAAAGGCCAGGUGGAACAACUCUGUCUUACAGGCGCUGCGGAAAGAAAUCAGAUCCUGCCGGGCUCUGGUCUCAUGUGUGGUGUAGUGGUUAAGAGCGGUGGACUCGUAAUCUGGGGAACCGGGCUCACUUCCCUGCUCCUCCACAUGCAGCUGCUGGGUGACCUUGGGCUAGUCACGCUUCUCUGAAGUCUCUGAAGUCUCUCAGCCCCACUCACCUCAUAGAGUGUUUGUUGUGGUGGAGGAAGGAAAAGGAGAAUGUUAGCCGCUUUGAGACUCCUUUGGGUAGUGAUAAAGCGGGAUAUCAAAUCCAAACUCUUCUUCUUCUUCUUCUUCUUCUUCUUCUUCUUCAUGAGACAGAGCAUUCCACCAGGUCGAAGCCAUCACUGAGAAGGUCCUGGCCCUGGAGGAGGAUAAUCUGACUUCCUUAGGGCCCAGGACCUCUAGGGUGUUGCUAUUUAUGGACCUUAAGGUCCUACGCGGGGCAUACCAGGCAAAGCUCCACUGAUAACUUUUCUUAUUUUUCUUUAAAGUGGAAUGCUUAGCAGGGGUAGCCAACAUGGUGUAGGUGGCCCCUAGCUGUUUCGGGCUGCGAUUCCCAUCAGCCCAAACCACACAACCUCAUAGAAUCAUAGAAUCAUAGAGUUGGAAUAGACCAUAAGGGCCAUCGAGUCCAACCCCCUGCCAAGCAGGAAACACCAUCAGAGCACUCCUGACAUAUGGUUGUCAAGCCUCUGCUUAAAGACCUCCAAAGAAGGAGACUCCACCACACUCCUUGGCAGCAAAUUCCACUGUCGAACAGCUCUUACUGUCAGGAAGUUCUUCCUAAUGUUUAGGUGGAAUCUUCUUUCUUGUAGUUUGGAUCCAUUGCUCCGUGUCCGCUUCUCUGGAGCAGCAGAAAACAACCUUUCUCCCUCCUCUAUGUGACAUCCUUUUAUAUAUUUGAACAUGGCUAUCAUAUCACCCCUUAACCUCCUCUUCUCCAGGCUAAACAUGCCCAGCUCCCUUAGCCGUUCCUCAUAAGGCAUCGUUUCCAGGCCUUUGACCAUUUUGGUUGCCCUCCUCUGGACACGUUCCAGUUUGUCAGUGUCCUCCUUGAACUGUGGCGCUCAGAACUGGACACAGUACUCCAGGUGAGGUCUGACCAGAGCAGAAUACAGUGGCACUAUUACUUCCCUUGAUCUAGAUGCUAUACUCCUAUUGAUGCAGCCCAGAAUUGCAUUGGCUUUUUUAGCUGCCGCGUCACACUGUUGGCUCAUGUCAAGUUUGUGGUCAACCAAGACUCCUAGAUCCUUUUCACAUGUACUGCUCUCAAGCCAGGUGUCACCCAUCUUGUAUUUGUGCCUCUCAUUUUUUUUGCCCAAGUGCCAUACUUUACAUUUCUCCCUGUUAAAGUUCAUCUUGUUUGUUUUGGCCCAGUUCUCUAAUCUGUCAAGGUCGUUUUGAAGUGUGAUCCUGUCCUCUGGGGUGUUAGCCACCCCUCCCAGUUUGGUGUCAUCUGCAAAUUUGAUCAGGAUGCCCUUGAGACCUGGUAAUGUCAAGCUGGGGCUGGUGGGAAUUGCAGCCCAAAACAUCAGUGGGGUGGAAUGGGGGGUUCACCAGGGUGGGGGAAAGCGUACCUCCAAGGUAAGAACUUUUCAUGGAAGACAAAAGAACAACUCCUUUGAAAAUGAAACAGAAAAUGCCAUUGUUUUUACAGUAGUUUGAAAAUCUUCAACAGGCUUCUUCAGUUUGAAUUGGUUUCUUGCAAUUUCUUAGGUUGAUCAGCACAAAUUCAUCAGUAAUUGAUGCAUCUUUAUUCCUCUCCAAGCAUAUUUCCCUGGGGGUGUUGGAUUGGGGGCGAUUAGGAACAGAGGAAAUGAGAAGAAUGUCAUCCAGUCCCCUUUUCUGCUUUCUGCUACAUGUUCUGAAUCUGAAUACCAGUUAGCAAAGCUACCGAAAAACCAGCAGGAUUCUCCGUCUUCACCUGAAAUAAUGACUGUUUCUCAGAUAAUGGCCUUCCUUUUCUUACUACAGACAAAUUUAUUUGUGGUGGAAUAAUUAUAUAGUACGUGAAAGGGGAAGGGCUUUGCUAUCCUCAUUCUGCUAUUACGGUAAUUAUAUGGGCACAAUAAGAUGAACUACUGUAAAAUAGUUUUUAAAGAGGGUUUUUUUGGGGGGGGUGAAGAUUAAGUGAAAAUCAGCAAAGUUCUGUUGAAUAUUCUUCAGUUUUGAUUUUCAAGUUGAAACAAACAGCAGGAGGAAACAUGAUAUAAGUUUAUGAAACUACUCAUGGCAAGAACAAAGAGGAUAGAAAAAUGGUUAUCUCCCGCUCUACUAGCACUGGGAUUUGUGGACACCCAAUUAAACAGAAGGCUGGAAGAUUCAGGAAAGAUAAAACACAGCACUUUUUUCACGCAGGGUAUAGUUAAACUGUGGAACUCACUUGGGUGGCUUUAGAAGAGCAUUAGGGGGAAAAAACCCUCAUAUGAAUUAUAUUGGCGCAGUAAGAUUAAAGAAAUAGUUUUUAAAAUGGGGGUUUUUUUGUGGAGAGUCAGAAAAUCAGCGAAGCUCUCCUGAAUAUUCUUCGGUUUUGAUCUUCAAGCUGAAAAUAACAGCAAGAGGAGACAUGGCAGAAGUUUAUAAAACUACGCACGGCAAAAGAGAAAGUGGAUAGAAAAAGGGUUUCUUCCUCUACUAGAACUUGCGGACUUCCAGUUAAGCCGAAGGUUGGAAGAUUCAGGAAAGAUAAAGGAAAGUCCUUCUUCAUGCCGUGCAGAGUUAACCUGGGGAACCCCCUGCCACAGGAGGCAGUGAUGGCCACCAAUGCCUGUGCUGGGCCCGGAAGAACCGUGGUCCAGGACUGGUCCAGAAUCUGAAGGUUCCGCUAGGAGUCAGUCCAACAGGGCCAAGGCAGGACACGAGGCAGGAAACCAGGCAAGGACAGGUAUAUCCGUAACCCCUCCCUUCCUCUUGGGAAUUAUAACAUACCCCUUGCUUUAAUCCUCUUAUCUUGAAUAUGCUUCUUCCCCAUAUUGAAGCAUUUAAUUAAUCAGAGUAUUUUCUUUGUUGUGGAGAUCUCAGUGCCGUGCAAUAACAGAGCAGGUGCCUCGUUCUUUUAAUAUCCUUUAGCGUAUCAGCAAAUCACGGUUCGUCCAAUGAACCUCUUGGCCAUCUUCCGACUUGGAAGGUGAUUCUCCUUUCCAAUUUGUUUUUAAUAUUGGGCUAGUAGACAUUCUGUAAGAAGGAUUCCAAAGCCUGAUGCAAGGUUUGAGAAUUUAUUAGUUGCUUGUAUUUAUAUCCCAACUUUUCCUCCAAGGAGCUCAAGGGGACUUGCAUGGUCCCCCUCCUCCUCAUUUAAUCCCCACAACACCCCUGUGAGGUAGCUUAGGAGUGACCGACCCAGUGGGCUUCUUCAUGGCUGAGUGGCAAUUCGAACCCAAGUCUCUCAGGUCCUAGUCCAACACUCUAAUCACUAAACCGCAUGAUGUACCCUCCACCCCAUAACUGAAUUCUGGAGAACUCUCUAGUGGACCUUAUGUGAUUGGCUAACAUUGGUCACAGGGAGGUAUCUAGUGAAGGAGAGACUCCAUUUUAUGUGAAGCAAGAUGGCUGUGUUUUAGAAUCCACUGUGAACACUGCUAAGUUGAAUAGAGCGUUGGAGCACUUCUUCUCCGCUUGAAAGCUGCAUUUUCAUUCCUCUUACUUCAACAAAGGAAACGUGGAGAUGACAAGCCCUUCCUUGAGUGAUGUUUGACGCUGGAAGAUCUGCUUCCGCAGUUUAAUCUUUAUUUGAUUCUGCUCUCUGUACGGCCAUGCACCACUUGCCUUCACGACAGCUUUCCACGUCCCCCGGUACAGUCAAUAACGCGACUAAUGUCUAAUAAAAAGGCCCAUUAAUAUGAUUCAUGGGUAGUCGUCACCCGCCGUGAAGUGCUGGGAACAGCCGCCUCACGUGGCGCAGAGUUCUCAUCUGAGAAGACAAAUAUUGCCCACAUUAUAUUCCCUGUCAGGGAGGAAGAUCCCCACUCUUCUCGUAUGAUCUUCUUUUGCUCUAACCAAUGGAUUCAUCCACAGCCCGAAACCUGAGGUGCUCUGGGAGGAAAAGUCCCUUUGGGACAUCUGGUCGGCCACUGUGAGAACAGGACACUGCAGUAGACAGACCAUUCACCAUUGGGAUCUUUUUAUGUUCUUGUUUCGGCCAGAGAUAUUCCCUGUUUCUUCAAAGAGUCAUGGGUGAUUGUCCCUGAGUCUUGACCCUCAGAGGGGUUGCGUUAGGAACAUGAGAGAUUACCUUCCCCCCUCCAAUUUCCAAUCUAUUCUGUUUAUAUUUAUUGUCUAUUUGUUCAUGCUGCUUUUCAAUGUAAAUACGCUCAAAGCAGCUCAUCACAGAACUACGCAACUGCAAAUCUAUGCAUCAUCCUAAGAUGCAAAUGCUUUGGGGGGAAAACAGAGCAAUCCAACAAAUAACUCAAUUUGAUUACAGAACGUGAACAUGACAACAUUUAAAGUCAUCAUAUAUUAGAUAUUGCUUCACAUUGCCAGGAGGAGUCUUGAAGUGACUGUAAAGCGACUUUACAGGGGCAAUUAUGUGCAAAACGCAUUAAAAUGGAACAAAUAUGCUAAAAAUGUUCACGAACGAAAAAUUCCCAACAACGCAAAACACUGGCGAUGAACAUGACAGGAACGUAGGAAGAUGCCUUGCAACAAGACAGACCAACAGUCCAUCUAUCUGAGUAUUGAAUAUUGUUUAUCAUCUAUUGAUUAAAGCUGAUGUUUUCACUGUUAAAUCGCAUUGAGACAUUGGAAGCGAUUAAACAAAUGGAAAUAAAUCAGUAAAUUACAAGCCUUGCAGCCAGUACUGGGAGAAGCUCCCUGCUUGCCUGCUGGUGCCUUGAUCUUCUUUUUAAAAGAGUCGAUUUCCCCUUGCCAGACUUUUCUGGUUGUUUGCAAUGAUUCCAUCACACCUUGCAGGGAUAAUGAGUGAAGAAGCCAAACCCUUUGCGAGUGCAGAAGAGGGAGGCAGGGCCCAGCCGUGCUGGGACUUGUUCCUGGAACCUCAGGGAUCCGCUUUAAUAGGGGGAACCUGCACCAAAGGCCACUCGCUCAUCAGAGACGCUACCGAAGGCAGAUUUUGCAGGCACAUUUCAUGCCGGUUCCCCAGCAAACUCACAGCUUGUUGCAAGUUUCAAAGGCUGCCUUUGGAUGCUGCAACUGCACAGAUGGUGGAAUCACCUGGGUGUGCGAUGUCUUGCAGAGAGACACUAAGCACAGGAGCUGUGAUCUGGGCUGGGGCGAUAGGCAGAGGGAGCUUUAAGAAAGAACCAGGGUGAUCUCUGGGACGCGAUGAAGGAAAGCAGACGGGCAGCUGGGUUUUAAGGGCAUUCAGUCCAGGUGUGAGGAGCAAAAGGCCACUGAAACAGCAAGCGAGGUUUGUUCCUGUUUACUCAUUUUAUCUAAGAAGACUUCUAUACUGCUUCUAAGCAGUUGGCAUGAAACAAUGGGAAAUGUACCUAAAACAAUACCGAUAAAAUCCAGCAUUAGAAAGAAGUAAACAUGGAACAAAAUUAAAAUUAAACUAGCCGUGUUAAAACAGAGAUACAUUAUAAAAUCAAAUGCCUGGAUAGUCUGGCCUUAAAUAAAGUUUUUUUUAGCAGGCACCGAAAACAUUCGGUACGACUGUGCCAUACUGUAACCACACUUGGAACGUAGUGUGUAGUUCUGGUCGCCUCGACUCAAAAGGGUACUGAAAAAGGUUCAGGAUAGGGCAAUCAAAAUGAGCAAAGGGAUGGAGCGACUCUCCUGUGAGGAAAGCAUAUGGGGGUCUUUAGUUUGGAGCAGGGGUUCCCCAAGGGGCAGGACUGCUCCAGAGGGUGGGAUCACCUGGGGGAGGUGUGUGCUAAGUGUCAAGCAGAUAGCAGAAGGGGGAGGUGGGCUGGAGAUGUAGCUGACAAUCGGGCUUUGAGAAACUGAUGCCACUGGAUCAAAUUCACCAGUUUUGUUGAAUUAAUUUAACUGGAUAGUUUAAAUUGGAUUUUGAAUGAAUAUGAGUUUUAUUGUGGUAUGAUCUUUCUUAGUGGGUCCUGCAAACCGCUAUUCUGAAUAAUGCUUUUUCCAGAGUAGGGUAGGGGGCACCGGGGGUGAGUUUUUGGAGCCAAGGGGCUGGUGGCCCAAAAUAGUAUGGAAACACUGGUCUAGAGAACAGGCAAGCAUGAGCUGACGCGAUAGAAGUGUAUGAAAUUAUUCAUGGCAGGAAGAAAGCAGAAUGCAGGAGGAAAGAGUCGCAAGGGGCUUUCAGGGACAUUUAUUCCUGGUCGCUCUCACUGAUCUUCUCAUUGCGGAGCCUCUGAGAAGCUUCCAAGGGAUGCCCCAGGGGUUCCCAGAGCAGAGUUUGAAAUUCACUGAACUCAUAACACAGCAGAACCAAACAAGCUUUGGAAAGGAAAUGUGUUCAGGCUAUUUGCCCAAACCAAGGAUAAAUUAUAAUCUCAAUGAAUUUAGAUCCUACGAUGUUGGACUUUCAUUAUGCACACACCCCUGCGCCAAAACAGCUUCUUUAAUGGGGAAUAUUGGGAAUCAAAUCAGGAGAAUGUUUGUGAGCAAAUUCCACCAGGAGAUGGACUCAGGGGGGGAUCUUGCCCAUAUUCUUCUCAACAAAAACAUCAGCCACAUCCUGCUCACCAGGUCCGUAAAGACCCAGAGAAAACCCUGCUCUCAUUUUCCUUGGCCCCACAUAUGAAGAUCAGGCCAAAGGCCAACCACAUGCAGAUGGAAAGCCCCAAGAGCAAAAAUCCAAAGCUGUCAGUGUCCACAGUUGACAGUUUAGUACAGGGGUCAGCAAACUUUUCCAGCAGGGGGCCGGUCCAGUGUCCCUCAGACCUUGUGGGGGGCCGGACUAUAUUUUUUUGAGGGGGAAAUGAACAAAUUCCUAUGCCCCACAAAUAACCCAGAGAUGCAUUUUAAAUAAAAGAACACAUUCUACUCAUGUAAAAACACACUGGUUUAGAAGGUGAUUGGGCCUCAUCCGGCCCCCGGGCCUUAGUUUGCCUACCCAUGGUUUAGUGUGAAAUGCUUUGAAAGUGGCUGCUCUGAUCUUCCAGCCAGCUGAGCUUGAGUCUGAUAUUGUAAAUAAAUAAAUGCAGAAAUUUGCCAGGCCCUGUGAACUUCCAUCUGUGCUUGGCUUUUCCAUUCAAUCAGAGACAACAGCAGACUGUCUUUGUGGCCAAGGAAAGGGUAGGAGGAGCCUAGAGACAACUGCUUCCAGAUUAUCUGUUUAUUGAAAAUUCACCCCGAUUUAUCCAUGGGGAGGUUAGGUGAUGCUGUGCCAAGCAAGUGUUAUCUCAGAUUUUGCAGUAUAAUUUCCCCAUCACUUUCCAUCUUGCAAAAAGUUUGAUUGGGGCGGCGAGUGAGUGGGUUUCCAGUACAAGUUGCAAAUGUAGAGCAUGAGAUCCUUGAUUUCAGGGCUGUGGGUUCGUGUUGGGCAAAAGAUUCCUGCAUAGCGGGGGGUUGGACUAGAUGGCUCUAAGGGUCCCUUCCAACUCUACGCUUCCGUGAUUCUGUGACAUUAAUUGUGAACCCUGAAUCUGCCGGAAUGUGAUUGAAUCCCAGCUGAAAAUAAAGACAGCCUGGAAACGCCUUUGGUUUUAUUAAAUGCACUGGAAACAGUUGUUGUUGUUUAGUUGUUUAGUCGGGUCUGACUCUUCGUGACCCCCUGGACCAGAGCACGCCAGGCACUCCUGUCUUCCACUGCCUCCCGCAGUUUGGUCAAACUCAUGUUCGUAGCUUUGAGAACACUGUCCAGCCAUCUCGUCCUCUGUCGUCCCCUUCUCCUUGUGCCCUCCAUCUUUCCCAACAUCAGGGUCUUUCCCAGGGAGUCUUUUCUUCUCAUGAGGUGGUCAAAGUCUUGGAGCCUCCGCUUCAGGAUCUGUCCUUCCAGUGAGCACUCAGGGCUGAUUUCCUUCAGAAUGGAUCGGUUUGCUCUUCUUGCAGUCCAUGGGACUCUCCAGCACCAUAAUUCAAAAGCAUCCAUUCUUCGGCGAUCAGCCUUCUUUAUGGUCCAGCUCUCACUUCCCUACAUCACUACUGGGGAAACCAUAGCUUUAACUAUACGGACUGGAAACAGAGGUGGUCCCAAAGAAGUCUUUGAAAUGGAUGGCAUCAAGGCAUUCACACAUAGCACCAGUGCCAGUGGUCAUGGCAGUGCAGGGCCAAUAUCCCAGCGGAAACAGAAAUACGGGGAACAAAUAUAUGAAGAAUUUUAGGUGUCUGACAAAUGUAGAGUUAUGAGGGAAAGAUUGCUUCCACCUAAUUGUUCUGUGUUUAGGAUUAAUUUUAAGUGAUUGAAUGGUCUGUAAAAAAUUACCAUACACUGCUUAGAGACUUCAGUAUUUAACAAGUAUGUAAAUAAGUAUCUAGCCCCACCCACUUUGCCUAUGACCCCACCCACCUCUAUCAUGUGACCCUCCCCAGAACAUUGCCUCUGUGGGAAUGUAGCAGUUGGUUUAUUAAAGGCUCCCUACCUGCACCUAUGGGACGCGGGUGGCGCUGUGGUUUAAAAUACAGAGCCUAGGGCUUGCCGAUCAGAAGGUCGGUGGUUUGAAUCCCCACGACAGCGUGAGCUCCCGUUGCUCAGUCCCUGCUCCUGUCAACCUAGCAGUUCAAAAGCAUGAAGUGCAAGUAGAUAAAUAGGUACCGCUCCAGCGGGAAGGUAAACGGCGUUUCCAUGCACUGCUCUGGUUCCCCAGAAGCGGCUUAGUCAUGCUGGCCACAUGACCCGGAAGCUGCAUGCCGGCUCCCUCAGCCAAUAAAGAGAUGAGUGCCGCAACCCCAGAGUCCCUUUACCAUUACCUUUGCCUGCACCUUAGCCUGCAUCUAUGCCAUACCUUUAAGGCAUAUUCCUGCUCCAGGGGAACCGGAGUUUACUCCACAGAGCAACACCUUUAACAAACUACAGUUCCCAGGGUUCUUAGGAUGUGUGCACUGUAAAUGUGGUUUUAAGGUAUGGUGUGUACACAGGCUUGCCCAUAUAUACCAGUCACUUCCUGCUGUACACAACAGCCCUGCUCAGUCUCCUUCAUUUCCCCAGUGUGUAUGCUGGUCAGAGCUAGAGUUGCCAACUGACCAAGUAAAACCCUUCAUGGUUUGCUCCUGUGCUCUUUGGCAACCGAUGUCUGCAAAAAUGACCAAGUGUUAUCAUUUGCUAAGGCCUGCGGAUACCGCAGCUUGCAACAGCACAGGAGCAGGGGUCGAUAUAUUGCUUUGGCAACCAGAGCCAGAGCCUGGUGGCCUGAGGAACCUUCUGGAAGUUUGUUCCAGCAAGAAACAUUAAUUAAAGCAGCCAAAGGAGCAGGAGCUGCUGGCGGAAUCCAAAUCUUGGCAAAGCGCAUUGAGGUUUUUCCUUUCGUUGCUGCGGCUGGUUCACCACGGCCAGUUGAACCGAGAGGUCUGUUGAGAUCGCAGAGCAAAAUGAAAGUAAUUGCUUGAUGAUAGGGAAGAGUUCAGCUAAACCUUCUCGGGGGGGAACCUUUCCUCCAUUCUGAAUUUGAUCAGACAAGAGGCUCCAGAGAAACGGCAGCAGCUCGCAUCUCUGAGAGCCUCCUUCUGGGUUUGCACUUGCCUCUCUCGAGCCUCUUCACGCAACUACUGUAUUUUUUGCUCUAUAAGACUCACUUUUCCCCUCCUAAAAAGUAAGGGGAAAUGUGUGUGCGUCUUAUGGAGCGAAUGCAGGCUGCGCAGCUAUCCCAGAAGCCAGAACAGCAAGAGGGAUUGUUGCUUUCACUGCGCAGCGAUCCCUCUUGCUGUUCUGGCUUCUGAGAUUCAGAAUAUUUGUUUUCUUGUUUUCCUCCUCCAAAAACUAGGUGCGUCUUGUGUUCUGGUGCGUCUUAUAGAGCGAAAAAUACGGUAAUCGCUUCUGCCAGAACUGCUGAGAGAGAGGAGCAGCAACAGAUUGCAGUCUCUGUUCUGGCUCGUGGACCAUUAGAACGGAACAGCUGGCCUGGGGGUAACAUCGCAGCCAAGAGAGAGGUCUGAGCUGGAAUCUGGGAUAAGUGGCCUUUUGUUCAACGGUUGGAAGAAGCUGCUAUCAUUUGAACGGCAAGAGUGGGUAAUCUACGCCGGAUAUUGUAGCCCCUGAAGUAUCAGAUCUGUCUGCAAAAGCGGAAAGCAGUCAAAAAA